This 68204-nucleotide long non-coding RNA is filed under the name Triticum aestivum (bread wheat). Its description in RNAcentral is "long non-coding RNA (TAES_LNC005424)". The stretch from base 42567 to 42681 matches the Rfam family "MIR1120/MIR1122 microRNA precursor family". The record is from RNAcentral. Lineage: Eukaryota; Viridiplantae; Streptophyta; Magnoliopsida; Poales; Poaceae.
UGAUAGAGGCGGGGUGUCCCGAUCUUUCGAUGAGAUGAUAACUAUCGAUUUGGUGAAGAUGACUUUGACGAUCCGACUACAAACGUGCACGACGUUGCGCCUUAGCAAUCGCUAAACCAACUCCGAGAGGUUAUUGACCACGCUGGAGCACAAUCAACCUGACCACGAAGGUCUAUUCCUGCAAGCAAUCGAAGAACAAGCAAGAAUAUGAUAAAAGCAAUCUGAAUAUUGCGAGUAUAUAUGAAGUAUUGAUAAAGGUGGGGAUCCGUAAGCGGUCUUGGUCUGGUCGUUGGACACAAACGAAGUACACGAAGUUGCAAUGGCUAACUUUUAACUAAACAAAUCCCAAGGAAAAGCUACUAGAUGGAUCUACUUAUAUAGGAGCAAGGGGUGGCGCCCAAGGAGGUGGGAGGACGUUCCAAGGCAGCCUAAAACUAAAUCUAGGUCGUACAAGGCCAAUGGGCCCAAGUGGAGGUGAUGUAACACCUUUGGACUUGUAGUUUGACUCGGAUUCUGCUGCAGCAUCAGAUUGUUUCGUCCACAACUCAACGCUCCGGACGAAUUUGAAGGUGAUUCCACUUGGGUUGGAAAGUGCACGAAAUCUAGUUUCCAACAAAAAAAGAAUCACCCAAUUCGGAGUCCGUAUGAAAACCUUGUGUGCGUUUUGAGUCAGGUAUGUCUGUGCAGUCCGAAUCUGAAUCCAGAACGUGAGAGACUUGGACUCUAUCUUCUCGUGGGCCAAAAGUGACGUGAGAGAACUUUUUGGACAGCAAAUAAACAUCUCUUUCUUCCUUAUCUUCGUAUGUGGAUUGUACAAAUGUCCCAUACACCUGCAAUUAGACAAAACACAAAAGUGUGUGAAGUAUUUUUGUUCUGGAUAACACAAAUAGAUUAUUGAAUAGUUUGCACUAGAAAUCACCUGACAAAUAUGCAUAUAUGCAAUAUUUUUGGUCAUAUCCAAGGUAGUCAUGUCCUCAUCAUCCUCCCCUUCUUGAAAAUAAAGCCGUCCUCGGCGUUGCUUAAUCUGAAAUGUGGCUAACAAAAGAGACAAGGUGUACAUGUUGUAUAUGUAUAUGUCAUCCAUUUUUACUUCCCUUGAUUUUUGCAUAUAUGACACAUGAAUAGAUGAGUAACUUGCAUAGUUCAUAAAAUCUAAAGCCAAAAAAUUAGCACAAGAAGUAGAAGGCAUGAAAAUAUUGCAACUCAGUUUGCACAUAUAAGUGAAGCUCUUAUUCAUUUCAAAAGAUUGACAAUGUUCAUCAUUAAAGCAUCCCAACAUUGGUGAAUAAACCUUACUUGCAUCAAAUUUACAUGCUACAACAUGCUUAAAUAAGCAAACAUGCAAUAAGUCAUUCAACACAGAAUCAUCACCAAGAUUAGAGGUCAUAUCAAAAUGAUUAAACAUUGGUUCUUUUGCAUCAAUAGUUAAUUCAAUGGGUGCACUCAAAAUUGUUGGUAUUUCAGUUGUUUGAUCACAUGGCAAAGUCAAAUUAUCAACGUAGUCCUCUAAAAUAGGUGGUGUGAUCAAAGUAGUGGGUAGCUCAUCAGAUGGUGCAUUCGAAUUGACAAGGCAUUCAUCAUUCUCAUGUAGAGAUGGAAGAUCAGUACCUUUGUCAUUACCUCUUAUGAUCAACUCAGAUGAUGUAGCCACUCUCGGGGGCGAUGUGUCACAUGGUGGAGGUGAUGUAGUCCUGACAACAACGGAUGUGGUUGUCAUAGUAUGCCUAGUAGUUGAAGGAACAAUCAUAUCAACUCUUGGAAUGUGCACCGUGCGCUUGUUCUCCUCGUGGCCAACACGUCGUUUUAUUUCCUGUUCAGCUUUGCAAGCAAGAUGAAACAAAUGGUCCAUAGGAUAACACUCUUCAUGAAUUAGUAUCUCUUGAAUAUCACGGUUUAAUCCUCCCCAAAAUCUAUCCAUAAAAGCAUCUUCACUUUCUUCUAAAGAGGAAUGCAACAAGGUAGUUUGUAAAUCAUCAUAAUAUUUUGUUAUAGUUUCACUACCUUGUUUUAAGUGUUGCAACUUCUUAAUCAUGUCACGAGUAUAAUAAUCAGGGACGAAAGUAUGUCGCAUGGCAAGUUUCAAAUCAUCCCAAGUAGUAGGUAUAUAAUCAGGGUGUAACCGACAAUAUUCACUCCACCAAACCAAAGCAUAACCAGUGAAAGAACCAACCGCAACCUUAACCUUGUUAUGUUCAUUGAAAUUAUGGGAAGCAAAUAUAUUUUUUAUGUCGAACUCCCAUUCAAUAUAUAAAGCAGGUUUAAAACGGCCAUUAAAUGGUGGUAUAGAUACAUUAACCUGAUCAUGUGCAUUUGGAUGUUUGUGCACCUCUCGUGACGGUUGUGGUAUUUGCAAAGGUGGUGGCACGUCUCCCGCGAUCGACAAAGCCCAUGAAUUGACUCUGGAUCCUGUCAUGAUUAGUAGAACAAGAAACAAAACCCAAAAAUAAUGUUCCUAUAACUACUAGGAUGUGGUGGUAAAACGCUCACAGUAAAGCAAAUAUCAAUGUCUUACAAGUUCUUACCAUGCAGCAGGCGGUGAUCGGCAACCAGCGGUGUCAAGUAACUCCGAAUAUUGAGUAAAGCGAUUGCCAGGGGAGCGUACGUAUACACGGUGUAGAAAUAUGUGGAGCUGGGUUGGCUAUAUAUGGUAGCAAAAGAUUAGCAAUAAUCAAUUCAAAGAUGCAAUGUUGAAUAAACGCUCAACGACGGUACUGUGCUGGUCCUAGGCUAGACCGGACUAGAUACGCGAGCCUAGAACACUAAUGAGGUCACGGUGUAGCACAACUAGCAUCAAUGAAGGAUACUAAGUAGCUCUUGACAGCAAGAUAUAAGUGAAGAUCACAACAGCAGUGAAGAUAAUGAGGUGAAACAACAGCCAAGCAGGAUAUAUCAACAACUUUGUCUCCAACUUUCCUCUGAAAAAGUUUGUGUCGAUUUUUUUGUUUUUUUUUCUUCUCUCUUUUUUUUCCUCACACUUUUUUUUUCUUUCUCUCCUUUUUUUUCUCUGACUUUUUUUUUCCUUUUUUUCUCUCUUUUUCUCUCUCUUUUUUUUUCUCUCUUUUUUUCUCCCUCUUUCCAAAACAAACUAGAUAAGAUGCAGAUUGGAUCAAGUGAAGAUGUGAACGAUCUCAACUAUUAUUAUGACAAUGAAUGGUGGGUAGCACGUGGUGGAAAUUGAUGGAUGGGUGGUGGACAGCGGAAGAGAUAAUGAUGCAGCGGUGGCGUGACUAAUGUGAACAGAACUCGAAACUCUAAACGAACUAGACACUAAGACCAGCAACUCGACACGACGAUGCAAUCGAUAAUUCAACUAUGCAAUCAAUGAAAAGAAAAUUGCAAAGGCUCAGACUGGCUUGGACCAAGGAUGAAUAGAUCUAACUCUUUUUUGUGGCUUUUUCUUGGACAAUAGGUAAGAAAGUAAAUCUAAUCUAGGAAAACUGGAAAUUCUCACCGAGCAACCUGAAAACUGAUACCACUUGAUAGAGGCGGGGUGUCCCGAUCUUUCGAUGAGAUGAUAACUAUCGAUUUGGUGAAGAUGACUUUGACGAUCCGACUACAAACGUGCACGACAUUGCGCCUUAGCAAUCGCUAAACCAACUCCGAGAGGUUAUUGACCACGCUGGAGCACAAUCAACCUGACCACGAAGGUCUAUUCCUGCAAGCAAUCGAAGAACAAGCAAGAAUAUGAUAAAAGCAAUCUGAAUAUUGCGAGUAUAUAUGAAGUAUUGGUAAAGGUGGGGAUCCGUAAGCGGUCUUGGUCUGGUCGUUGGACACAAACGAAGUACACGAAGUUGCAAUGGCUAACUUUUAACUAAACAAAUCCCAAGGAAAAGCUACUAGAUGGAUCUACUUAUAUAGGAGCAAGGGGUGGCGCCCAAGGAGGUGGGAGGACGUUCCAAGGCAGCCUAAAACUAAAUCUAGGUCGUACAAGGCCAAUGGGCCCAAGUGGAGGUGAUGUAACACCUUUGGACUUGUAGUUUGACUCGGAUUCUACUGCAGCAUCAGAUUGUUUCGUCCACAACUCAACGCUCCGGACGAAUUUGAAGGUGAUUCCACUUGGGUUGGAAAGUGCACGAAAUCUAGUUUCCAACAAAAAAAGAAUCACCCAAUUCGGAGUCCGUAUGAAAACCUUGUGUGCGUUUUGAGUCAGGUAUGUCUGUGCAGUCCGAAUCUGAAUCCAGAACGUGAGAGACUUGGACUCUAUCUUCUCGUGGGCCAAAAGUGACGUGAGAGAACUUUUUGGACAGCAAAUAAACAUCUCUUUCUUCCUUAUCUUCGUAUGUGGAUUGUACAAAUGUCCCAUACACCUGCAAUUAGACAAAACACAAAAGUGUGUGAAGUAUUUUUGUUUUGGAUAACACAAAUAGAUUAUUGAAUAGUUUGCACUAGAAAUCAUCUGACAAAUAUGCAUAUAUGCAAUAUUUUUGGUCAUAUCCAAGGUAGUCAUGUCCUCAUCAGAUCUCCAGGCGCAAACACAACAUGUUUUCUACCCUUAUCUCCAGCAAGUUUAUAUUUAGCAUUCAUACGCUCAAUGUUUUCCGUUAACUCAUGCAUUUUUAAAAUCAAUUCAGAACGUUCUUUAGCAUCAAAAUUAACCUUCUCUGAAAAUGGAAGAGGCAACAAAUCAAUAGGUGCACGAGGUAGGAAACCAUACACAAUUUCAAAAGGGCACAUCUUAGUAGUAGAAUGCAAUGAACGAUUAUAAGCAAAUUCAAUAUGAGGCAAGCAUUCUUCCCACAUUUUCUUGUUAUUCUUCAAAACAACCCUAAGCAUAGUAGACAAUGUUCUAUUGACUACUUCAGUUUAUCCAUCAGUUUGGGGGUGACAAGUAGUACUAAAAAGCAGCUUAGUCCCCAACUUAGCCCAUAAACAUCUCCAAAAGUGGCUAAGAAAUUUAGUAUCACGAUCUGAAACAAUAGUACUUGGCACACCAUGUAAGCGAAUAAUUUCACGAAAGAACAAAUCAGCAACAUUAACAGCAUCAUCGCUUUUAUGACAUGGUAUAAAGUGUGCCAUUUUCGAGAACCUAUCCACGACAACAAAUAUGCUAUCCCUCCCCUUCUUUGUUCGAGGUAAACCUAAAACAAAGUCCAUAGAUAUAUCCUCCCAAGGAACACUAGGUACAGGCAAAGGCAUAUAUAAACCAUGAGGAUUGAGUCGUGACUUAGCUCUUUGACAUGUAGUGCAGCGAGCAACAAAACGCUCAACAUCCCGUCUCAUCUUUGGCCAAAAGAAAUGUGUAGCAAGUAUAUCCUCCGUCUUCUUGACGCCAAAGUGUCCCAUUAAUCCUCCUCCAUGCGCCUCCUGCAACAACAAAAGACGAACGGAGCUAGCAGGAAUGCAUAGCUUGUUAGCACGAAACACAAAUCCAUUGUUAAGAACGAACUUGUUCCAAGUUCUCCCUUCCUUACAAUUCUGCAAUACAUCUUUAAAUUCAGCAUCAUGAACAUAUUGAUCUUUGAUGGUCUCCAAACCAAAUAUUUUAAAGUCAAGUUGUGAAAGCAUGGUAUAACGACGAGACAAGGCAUCAACAAUAACAUUUUCUUUACCCUUCUUGUGUUUAAUGACAUAAGGGAAAGUCUCAAUGAAUUCAACCCAUUUAGCAUGUCUACGGUUCAGUUUUGCUUGACUUUUAAUGUGUUUCAAAGAUUCAUGAUGAGAAUGUACAACAAAUUCCUUGGGCCAUAAAUAAUGUUGCCAUGUUUCUAAGGUCCGAACAAGAGCAUAUAAUUCUUUAUCAUAAGUAGAAUAGUUCAGACUAGGCCCACUCAAUUUUUCAGAAAAGUAUGCAACAGGUUUUCCAUCUUGUAAUAACACACCUCCUAAUCCAAUUCCACUAGCAUCACAUUCAAGCUCAAAAGUCUUAUUGAAAUUAGGAAGUUGGAGUAAAGGAGCAUGUGUCAACUUAUCUUUCAAUACUGUGAAGGCUUCUUCCUGUGCGGUACCCCAAACAAAAGGCACAUCCUUCUUUGUAAGCUCGUUGAGAGGUGCGGCAAUGGUGCUGAAAUCUCUCACAAAACGCCUAUAGAAACCAGCAAGGCCAAGGAACUCCUCACUUGUGUGACCGUUUUGGGCUGCGGCCAACUCUCAAUAGCUUCAAUCUUGGCUUUAUCAACUUCAAUUCCCUGUGGAGUAACAACAUAGCCAAGAAAACAUACUCGGUCGGUGCAAAAGGUGCACUUUCCAAGGUUUCCAAACAAACAUGCAUCACGUAGAGCAAUAAAAACAGCACGUAAAUGUUCCAAAUGUUCCUCCAAAGAUUUGCUAUAAAUCAAUAUGUCAUCAAAGUAAACUACCACAAAUCGUCCAAUGAAAGCACGUAAAACUUCGUUCAUUAACCUCAUGAAAGUACUAGGUGCAUUAGUUAACCCAAAAGGCAUGACUAACCACUCAUAUAAUCCAAACUUAGUUUUAAAUGCUGUUUUCCAUUCAUCACCCAAUUUCAUAUGAAUUUGAUGGUAUCCACUACGCAAAUCAACUUUGGAGAAUAUUGUAGAGCCACUCAAUUCAUCAAGCAUAUCAUCUAGCCUAGGAAUAGGAUGACGAUAACGAAUAGUAAUAUUAUUAAUGCCUCUACAAUCAACGCACAUACGCGACGUACCAUCCUUUUUCGGCACUAAAAUGAUAGGAACAGCACAAGGACUAAGGGAUUCGCGUAUAUAACCUUUGUCGAGCAGUUCUUGUACUUGACGCAUAAUCUCCUUCGUCUCCUCUGGAUUGGUAUGGUAUGGUGCACGGUUGGGUAGCGAAGCACCGGGAAUUAAGUCAAUUUGAUGCUCAAUCCCUCGAAUAGGUGGUAAUCCCAGUGGCACGUCUUGUGGAAAGAUGUCAGCGAACUCCUGCAAAAUGUUAGUGACAGCAGGGGGCAAAGAGGAAGGCACAUCCUCGAAUGAAAAUAAUGCCUCUUUGCACACAAAAGUAUAGCAAACAGAUUUGCUAAAAUCUAGCUCAUCAAUAUCAGAUUUGGUGGCGAGUAAACAUGCACUUUUCAAUUUAAUUUCAGAAACAACAGUAGAUGGUUUAUUAUUAGGCUUCAUUUGGUGCUCAAAUUCUUUUGCCACAAUCUGAUUUUCACUCUUAUUUGUCUCCUGUUUUGCUUUAUUAGCUCUAUUAAUAUCAUCUUUCAAAAUGGAAUCAGGAGUCAUAGGAAGCAAAGUAAUAUUUUUAUGGUUAUGAACAAGAGUAUACAGAUUGUUUCUACCAUGGUGUACAGAAUUUUUAUCAAAUUGCCAUGGUCUACCAAGUAAUAAGGAACAUGCUUGCAUAGGUACCACAUCACAAUCAACACAAUCAGCAUAUGUAGAGAUACUAAAAUGCACACGAACAGUACGUGUUACCUUAACCUUGCCGCUGUUGUUGAACCACUGGAUGUAGUAAGGAUGUGGAUGUGGUCUUGUGGUGAGAGAUAGCUUCUCCACCAUCUCCAUGCUAGCCAAGUUAUUGCAGCUCCCUCCAUCUAUGAUCAGGCGAACAGAAUGUUCCUUCACAACUCCCUUUAUAUGGAACAAAUUAUGCCUCUGAUUUUGCUCAGCUUGUGUAACCUGCACACUCAAAACACGUUGAGCAACUAAACAUUCAUACCUGUCAGCAUCUUCAGGAGCCAUGUAUUGCGUCUCAUGAUCAGAAUCGUCUCCACCGUGUUCUUCACGUGUAAUAACAGCCAAAGUCCACUUGAUAGAGGCAAAGGUGUCCCGUCUUUCGAUGAGAUGAUGGAUAUCGCUUUGGUGGAAGUCGACUUUGACGAUCCGACUACGAACGUGCGAGGACGUCGCGCCUUAGCAAUCGCUAAACCAACUCCGAGAGGUUAUUGACCACGCCGGAGCACGAUCAACCUGACCACGAGGGUCUGUUUCCUGCGAGCAAACGAAGAACAAGCAAGAAACUAAGAUUGCAAUCUGGAUAUUGCGAAUAUAAGAUGAAAGCUUUAUUGAUCAAGGUGGGGUUCUGUGAUGCCUUUGUCUGGUCGUUGAACACAAACGAAGUACGCGAAGUUGCAGCUAUGACGAACUUUUAAUCUACACAAAACCCAAAGUCUAAACGAUGCCCUAAGGGCUGUAUAUAUGGAGGAAGAGGGGGGAAUUUCGUGGCCCUUGGUGGAGGGGUCCGAAAUCAACCCUAUCUCUUGUUUCCCCACACAUACGGACUCUAAAAAUAGCCUAUACUUAUGUAUUUCGAAAUUACAUGGGCCUGGCCCAAUGAUAAGGUGACGCAGCACCUAAAAUAGCCUCGGGACGAAAUUUAUGAAGUGGCAUCUUGUAUAUUUCGUCCAAGGCUUCAUGCACCCAUUAUGGUGGCUUCAAAGUCCUGGAAUCAUCACUUGUAACUCCGUUCUUGUUCCCCUUGCGCAUGCCAUCAUCUCCAUGCUUGUUCUUGCUCCAAUGUUCAUCCUUCUCCAAGCUAGGCCCUUCAUUUCUAAGCAAAACAAAUGUAUCCAAUUUAGGCAGCAUCAUAUUCUCAUGAACAUUAGAAUCAUUGCCAAGAAACGAAAGUACCUAGUAAUUUAGUUGGCGUGCGCGAGCUCUAGUAAUUGGUCCAGUAUGUAUAGCAGCAGGGCCUGUGGGUGUAACAAUGGUAUUGAUGUCCUCAUCAUCCUCCCCUUCUUGAAAUGAAGUCGUCCUCGAUGGAAACUCAUCUUCCUCACCCAAAUAAGGCUUCAAAUCUGCAAUGUUAAAAGUGGGAUUAACCCCAAAAUCUGCAGGCAGCUCAAGUUUAUAUGCAUUAUCAUUUAUUUUCUCGAACACCUUAAAGGGACCAUCAGCCCGUGGCAUGAGCUUUGAUUUGCGCAAAUCAGGAAAUCUAUCCUUACGCAAAUGUAACCAAACAAGAUCUCCAGGUGCAAACACAACAUGUUUUCUACCCUUAUCUCCAGCAAGUUUAUAUUUGGCAUUCAUACGCUCAAUGUUUUCCUUAGUUAACUCAUGCAUUUUUAAAAUCAAUUCAGCACGUUGUUUAGCAUCAAAAUUAACCUUCUCCGAAGAUGGAAGAGGCAACAAAUCAAUAGGUGCACGAGGUAGGAAACCAUACACAACUUCAAAAGGGCACAUCUUAGUAGUAGAAUGCAAUGAACGAUUAUAAGCAAAUUCAAUAUGAGGCAAGCAUUCCUCCCACAUUUUCUUAUUACUCUUCAAAACAGCCCUAAGCAUAGUAGACAAUGUUCUAUUGACUACUUCAGUUUGUCCAUCAGUUUGGGGGUGACAAGUAGUACUAAAAAGCAGUUUAGUCCCCAACUUAGCCCAUAAACAUCUCCAAAAGUGGCUAUGAAAUUUAGUAUCACGAUCUGAAACAAUAGUAUUUGGCACACCAUGCAAGCGAAUAAUUUCACGAAAGAACAAAUCAGCAACAUUAACAGCAUCAUCGCUUUUAUGACAUGGUAUAAAGUGUGCCAUUUUCGAGAAUCUAUCCACGACAACAAAUAUGCUAUCCCUCCCCUUCUUUGUUCGAGGUAAACCUAAAACAAAGUCCAUAGAUAUAUCCUCCCAAGGAACACUAGGUACAGGCAAAGGCAUAUAUAAACCAUGAGGAUUGAGUCGUGACUUAGCUUUUUGACAUGUAGUGCAUCGAGCAAUAAAACGCUCAACAUCCCGUCUCAUCUUUGGCCAAAAGAAAUGUGUAGCAAGUACGUCCUCCGUCUUCUUCACGCCAAAGUGUCCCAUUAAUCCUCCUCCAUGCGCCUCCUGCAACAACAAAAGACGAACGGAGCUAGCUGGAAUGCACAGCUUGUUAGCACGAAACACAAAUCCAUCGUUAACGAGAAACUUGUUCCACAUUCUUCCUUCUUUACAAUUCUGCAUUACAUCUUUAAAAUCAGCAUCAUGCACAUAUUGAUCUUUGAUGGUCUCCAAACCAAAUAUUUUGAAGUCAAGUUGUGAAAGCAUAGUAUAGCGACGAGACAAUGCAUCAGCAAUAACAUUUUCUUUUCCCUUCUUGUGUUUAAUGACAUAAGGGAAAGUCUCAAUGAAUUCAACCCAUUUAGCAUGUCUACGAUUCAGUUUAGCUUGACUUUUAAUAUGUUUCAAAGAUUCAUGAUCAGAAUGUAUAACAAAUUCUUUGGGCCAUAAAUAAUGUUGCCAUGUUUCUAAAGUCCGAACAAGAGCAUAUAAUUCUUUAUCAUAAGUAGAAUAAUUCAGACUAGGCCCACUCAAUUUUUUAGAAAAGUAUGCAAUAGGUUUGCCAUCUUGUAAUAACACACCUCCUAAUCCAAUUCCACUAGCAUCACAUUCAAGCUCAAAAGUCUUAUUAAAAUCAGGAAGUUGGAGUAAAGGAGCAUGUGUCAACUUAUCUUUCAAUACCGUGAAGGCUUCUUCCUGUGCGGUACCCCAAACAAAAGGCACAUCCUUCUUUGUAAGCUCGUUGAGAGGUGCAGCAAUGGUGCUGAAAUCUCUCACAAAACGCCUAUAGAAUCCAGCGAGGCCAAGAAAACUCCUCACUUGUGUGACCGUUUUGGGCUGCGGCCAACUCUCAAUAGCUUCAAUCUUGGCUUUGUCAACUUCAAUUCCCUGUGGAGUAACAACAUAGCCAAGAAAAGAUACUCGGUCGGUGCAAAAGGUGCACUUCCCAAGGUUACCAAACAAACGUGCAUCACGUAGAGCAAUAAAAACAGCAUGUAAAUGUUCCAAAUGUUCUUCCAAAGAUCUGCUAUAAAUCAAUAUGUCAUCAAAGUAAACUACCACAAAUCGUCCAAUGAAAGCACGUAAAACUUCGUUCAUUAAUCUCAUGAAAGUACUAGGUGCAUUAGUUAACCCAAAAGGCAUGACUAACCACUCAUAUAAUCCAAACUUAGUUUUAAAUGCUGUUUUCCAUUCAUCUCCCAAUUUCAUACGAAUUUGAUGGUAGCCACUACGCAAAUCAACUUUGGAGAAUAUUGUAGAGCCACUCAAUUCAUCAAGCAUAUCAUCUAGCCUAGGAAUAGGAUGACGAUAACGAAUAGUAAUAUUAUUAAUGCCUCUACAAUCAACACACAUACGUGAUGUAACAUCCUUUUUCGGCACUAGAAUAAUAGGAACAACACAAGGACUAAGGGAUUCGCGUAUAUAACCUUUGUCGAGAAGCUCUUGUACUUGACGCAUAAUCUCCUUCGUCUCCUCUGGAUAGGUACGGUAUGGUGCACGGUUUGGCAGUGAAGCACCGGGAAUUAAGUCAAUCUGAUGCUCAAUCCCUCGAAUAGGCGGUAAUCCCGGUGGCACGUCUUGUGGAAAUACGUCAGCGAACUCCUGCAAAAUGUUAGUGACAGCAGGAGGCAAAGAGGAAGGCACGUCCUCGAAUGAAAAUAAUGCCUCUUUGCACACAAAAGCAUAGCAAACAGAUUUGCUGAAAUCUAGCUCAUCAAUAUCAGAUUUGGUGGCAAAUAAACAUGCACUUUUCAAUUUAAUUUCAGAAGCAACACUAGAUGGUUUAUUAUUAGGCUUCAUUUGUUGCUCAAAUUCUUUUGCCACAAUCUGAUUUUCACUCUUAUUCUUCUCCUGUUUUGCUUUAUUAGCUCUAUUAAUAUCAUCUUUCAAAAUGGAAUCAGGAGUCAUAGGAAGCAAAGUAAUAUUUUUAUCCUUAUGAACAAGAGUAUAGUGAUUGUUUCUACCAUGGUGUACAGAAUUUAUUUUCAGUUUUCAGGUUGCUCGGUGAGAAUUUCCAGUUUUUCCUAGAUUAGAUUUAUUUUCUUACCUAUUGUCCAAGAAAAAGCCACAAAACAAAAGUUAGAUCUAUUCAUCCUUUGUCCUAGCCAGACUGAGCCUUUGCAAUUUUCUUUUCAUUGUUUGCAUUAUUGAAUUAUCGGUUGCAUCGCCGUGUCGAGUUGCUGGUCUUAGUGUCUAGUUCCUUUAGAGUUUCGAGUUCUGUUCACAUUAGUCACGCAGCCGCUGCAUCAUUAUCCCAUCGGCUGUCCACCAUCCCAUCCACCAAUUUCCACCACGUGCUACGCACUGUUUAUUGUCAUAAUCAUAGUUGAGGUCACUCACAUCUUCGCCUGAUCGAAUCUGCAUCUUAUCUAGUUUGUCUUGGAAAGAGGGAGAAAAAGAAUAUAAAGAAAAAAAAGAGAGAAAAAAGGAAAGGAAAAAAAAGAAAAAGAGGGAGAAGAAAAAGAAAAAAAAAGCGUGAGAAGAAAAAGAGAGAAGAAAAAAAAUUGGAUCUAUCUAGAAUCAAUCUCGUACCUGAAUUCGGAUUGGAAUCUGUUUUGCGCACUGUUCAGUAAAACAGGUGUAUCUUCCUCAUACGAAGUCCGUUUUGGCUCCAUGAGUACUCAAAUUGAAGAUAGCGACGAGUCGCAUCUAAAUAGUUGCAGAAGCUAGUUCAAUAUUUGACACCUCAAAAUCGGCUUCUAAAUAGGUCUUUUUGCCCUCCGAAGUUCGUGAACACAGCUUGUUCCAAUUUUUUAGGCCAGUUUUAGAAUUCUUUGACUCCUCAUAUCAACUCGGAAUUGAGUGAUUCUUUUUGCAUUGGAAAGCUUGAGUUAGUAGCAUUCUUUGAAAGAAUUUAUCAGAAAACUGUCUCAAACUUUUCAAGAGAAAAGUUGGAGAGAGAGUUGUUGUAUAUCCUGCUUGGCAGUUGUUUUUCAUCAUUAUCUUCACUGCCGUUGUGAUCUUCACUUAUAUCUUGCUGUCAAGAGCUACUUAAUAUCCUUUAUUGAUGCUAGUUGUGCUACGCCGUGACCUCAUUAGUGUUCUAGGCUCGCGUCUCUAGUCCGGUCUAGCCUAGGACCAGCACAGUACCGUCGUUGAGCGUUUAUUCAACAUUGCAUCUUUGAAUUGAUUAUUGCUAAUCUUUUGCUACCAUAAUAGCCAACCCAGCUCCACAUAUUUCUACACCGUGUAUACGUACGCUCCCGUGGCAAUCGCUUUACUCAAUAUUCGGAGUUACUUGACACCGCUGGUUGCCGAUCACCGCCUGCUGCAUGGUAAGAACUUGUAAGACAUUGAUAUUUGCUUUACUGUGAGCGUUUUACCACCACAUCCUAGUAGUUAUAGGAACAUUAUUUUUGGGUUUUGUUUCUUGUUCUACUAAUCAUGACAGGAUCCAGAGUCAAUUCAUGGGCUUUGUCGAUCGCGGGAGACGUGCCACCACCUUUGCAAAUACCACAACCGUCACGAGAGGUGCACAAACAUCCAAAUGCACAUGAUCACGUUAAUGUAUCUAUACCACCAUUUAAUGGCCGUUUUAAACCUGCUUUAUAUAUUGAAUGGGAGUUCGACAUAAAAAAUAUAUUUGCUUCCCAUAAUUUCGAUGAACAUAAAAAGGUUAAGGUUGCGGUUGGUUCUUUCACUGGUUAUGCUUUGGUUUGGUGGAGUGAAUAUUGUUGGUUACACCCUGAUUAUAUACCUACUACUUGGGAUGAUUUGAAACUUGCCAUGCGACAUACUUUCGUCCCUGCUUAUUAUACUCGUGACAUGAUUAAGAAGUUGCAACACUUAAAACAAGGUAGUGAAACUGUAACAAAAUAUUAUGAUGAUUUACAAACUACCUUGUUGCAUUCCUCUUUAGAAGAAAGUGAAGAUGAUUUUAUGGAUAGAUUUUGGGGAGGAUUAAACCGUGAUAUUCAAGAGAUACUAAUUCAUGAAGAGUGUUAUCCUAUGGACCAUUUGUUUCAUCUUGCUUGCAAAGCUGAACAGGAAAUAAAACGACGUGUUGGCCACGAGGAGAACAAGCGCACGGUGCACAUUCCAAGAGUUGAUAUGAUUGUUCCUUCAACUACUAGGCAUACUAUGACAACCACAUCCGUUGUUGUCAGGACUACAUCACCUCCACCAUGUGACACAUCGCCCCUGAGAGUGGCUACAUCAUCUGAGUUGAUCAUAAGAGGUAAUGACAAAGGUACUGAUAUUCCAUCUCUACAUGAGAAUGAUGAAUGCCUUGUCAAUUUGAAUACACCAUCUGAUGAGCUACCUACUACUUUGAUCACACCACCUAUUUUAGAGGACUACGUUGAUAAUUUGACUUUGCCAUGUGAUCAAACAACUGAAAUAUCAACAAUUUUGAGUGCACCCAUUGAAUUAACUAUUGAUGCAAAAGAACCAAUGUUUAAUCGUUUUGAUAUGACCUCUAAUCUUGGUGAUGAUUCUGUGUUGAAUGACUUAUUGCAUGUUUGCAUAUUUAAGCAUGUUGUAGCAUGUAAAUUUGAUGCAAGUAAGGUUUAUUCACCAAUGUUGGGAUGGUUUAAUGAUGAACAUUGGCAAUCUUUUGAAAUGAAUAAGAGCUUCACUUAUAUGUGCAAACUGAGUUGCAAUAUUUUCAUGCCUUCUACUUCUUGUGCUAAUUUUUUGGCUUUAGAUUUUAUGAACUAUGCAAGUUACUCAUCUAUUCAUGUGUCAUAUAUGCAAAAAUCAAGGGAAGUAAAAAUGGAUGACAUAUACAUAUACAACAUGUACACCUUGUCUCUUUUGUUAGCCACAUUUCAGAUUAAGCAACGCCGAGGACGGCUUUAUUUUCAAGAAGGGGAGGAUGAUGAGGACAUGACUACCUUGGAUAUGACCAAAAAUAUUGCAUAUAUGCAUAUUUGUCAGGUGAUUUCUAGUGCAAACUAUUCAAUAAUCUAUUUAUGUUAUCCAGAACAAAAAUACUUCACACACUUUUGUGUUUUGUCUAAUUGCAGGUGUAUGGGACAUUUGUACAAUCCACAUAUGAAGAUAAGGAAGAAAGAGAUGUUUAUUUGCUGUUCAAAAAGUUCUCUCACGUCACUUUUGGCCCAAGAGAAGAUAGAGUCCAAGUCUCUCACGUUCUGGAUUCAGAUUCGGACUGCACAGACAUACCUGACUCAAAACGCACACAAGUUUUUCAUACGGACUCCGAAUUGGGUCAUUCUUUUUUUGUUGGAAACUAGAUUUCGUGCAUUUUCCAACCCAGUUGGAAUCACCUUCAAAUGCGUCCGGAGCGUUGAGUUGUGGACGAAACAAUCUGAUGCUGCAGCAGAAUCCGAGUCAAACUACAAGUCCAAAGGUGUUACAUCACCUCCACUUGGGCCCAUUGGCCUUGUACGACCUAGAUUUAGUUUUAGGCUGCCUUGGGACGUCCUCCCACCUCCUUGGCCGCCACCCCUUGCUCCUAUAUAAGUAGAUCCAUCUAGUAGCUUUUUCCUUGCGAUUUGUUUAGUUAAAAGUUAGCCAUUGCAACUUCGUGUACUUCGUUUGUGUCCAACGACCAGACCAAGACCGCUUACGGAUCCCCACCUUUAUUAAUACUUCAUAUAUAUUCGCAAUAUUCAGAUUGCUUUUAUCAUAUUCUUGCUCGUUCUUCGAUUGCUUGCAGGAAUAGACCUUCGUGGUCAGGUUGAUCGUGCUCCGGCGUGGUUAAUAACCUCAGGAGAUUGGUUUAGCGAUUGCUAAGGCGGAACGUCGUGCACGUUUGUAGUCGGAUCGUCAAAGUCGUCUCCACCAAAUCGGUAGUAUCAUCUCAUCGAAAGAUCGGGACACCCCGCCUCUAUCAAGUGGUAUCAGUUUUCAGGUUGCUCGGUGAGAUUUUACAGUUUUUCAUAGUUUAGAUCGCAUCUGUCAUUCAUACCUAUAGUUCAUGAAAAAGCCACAAAAAAAGUUAGAUCUGUUCAUCCUUUAUCCAAGCCAGUCUGAGCCUUUGCAAUUUUCUAUUCGUUGCUUGCAUAGUUGAAUUAUCGGUUGCAUCGUCGUGUCAGUUGCUGGUCUUAGUGUCUAGUUCCUUUAGAGUUUCGAGUUCUGUUCACAUUAGUCACGCCGCCGUUGCAUCAUUAUCCCUUCCGCUGUCCACCAUCCCAUCUAUUAAUUUCCACCACGUGCUACCCACCAUUCAUUGUCAUAAUAAUAGUUGAGAUCGUUCACAUCUUCACUUGAUCCAAUCUGCAUCUUAUCUAGUUUGUUUUGGAAAGAGGGAGAAAAAAAGAGAGAAAAAAACGAGAGAAAAAAAAGGAAAAAAAGUCAGAGAAAAAAAAAGGAGAGAAAGAAAAAAAAGUGUGAGGAAAAAAAAGAGAGAAGAAAAAAAAAACAAAAAAAUCGGCACAAACUUUUUCAGAGGAAAGUUGGAGACAAAGUUGUUGAUAUAUCCUGAUUGGCUGUUGUUUCACCUCAUUAUCUUCACUACUGUUGUGAUCUUCACUUAUAUCUUGCUGUCAAGAGCUACUUAGUAUCCUUCAUUGAUGCUAGUUGUGCUACGCCGUGACCUCAUUAGUGUUCUAGGCUCGCGUCUCUAGUCCGGUCUAGCCUAGGACCAGCACAGUACCGUCGUUGAGCGUUUAUUCAACAUUGCAUCUUUGAAUUGAUUAUUGCUAAUCUUUUGCUACCAUAUAUAGCCAACCCAGCUCCACAUAUUUCUACACCGUGUAUACGUAUGCUCCCCUGGCAAUCGCUUUUCUCAAUAUUCGGAGUUACUUGACACCGCUGGUUGCCGAUCACCGCCUGCUGCAUGGUAAGAACUUGUAAGACAUUGAUAUUUGCUUUACUGUGAGCGUUUUACCACCACAUCCUAGUAGUUAUAGGAACAUUAUUUUGGGUUUUGUUUCUUGUUCUACUAAUCAUGACAGGAUCCAGAGUCAAUUCAUGGGCUUUGUCAAUCGCGGGAGACGUGCCACCACCUUUGCAAAUACCACAACCGUCACGAGAGGUGCACAAACAUCCAAAUGCACAUGAUCAGGUUAAUGUAUCUAUGCCACCAUUUAAUGGCCGUUUUAAACCUGCUUUAUAUAUUGAAUGAGAGUUCGACAUAAAAAAUAUAUUUGCUUCCCAUAAUUUCGAUGAACAUAAAAAGGUUAAGGUUGCGGUUGGUUCUUUCACUGGUUAUGCUUUGGUUUGGUGGAGUGAAUAUUGUCGGUUACACCCUGAUUAUAUACCUACUACUUGGGAUGAUUUGAAACUUGCCAUGCGACAUACUUUCGUCCCUGCUUAUUAUACUCGUGACAUGAUUAAGAAGUUGCAACACUUAAAACAAGGUAGUGAAACUGUAACAAAAUAUUAUGAUGAUUUACAAACUACCUUGUUGCAUUCCUCUUUAGACGAAAGUGAAGAUGAUUUUAUGGAUAGAUUUUGGGGAGGAUUAAACCGUGAUAUUCAAGAGAUACUAAUUCAUGAAGAGUGUUAUCCUAUGGACCAUUUGUUUCAUCUUGCUUGCAAAGCUGAACAGGAAAUAAAACGACGUGUUGGCCACGAGGAGAACAAGCGCACGGUGCACAUUCCAAGAGUUGAUAUGAUUGUUCCUUCAACUACUAGGCAUACUAUGACAACCACAUCCGUUGUUGUCAGGACUACAUCACCUCCACCAUGUGACCCAUCGCCCCCGAGAGUGGCUACAUCAUCUGAGUUGAUCAUAAGAGGUAAUGACAAAGGUACUGAUCUUCCAUCUCUACAUGAGAAUGAUGAAUGCCUUGUCAAUUUGAAUGCACCAUCUGAUGAGCUACCCACUACUUUGAUCACACCACCUAUUUUAGAGGACUACGUUGAUAAUUUGACUUUGCCAUGUGAUCAAACAACUGAAAUACCAACAAUUUUGAGUGCACCCAUUGAAUUAACUAUUGAUGCAAAAGAACCAAAGUUUAAUCAUUUUGAUAUGACCUCUAAUCUUGGUGAUGAUUCUGUGUUGAAUGACUUAUUGCAUGUUUGCUUAUUUAAGCAUGUUGUAGCAUGUAAAUUUGAUGCAAGUAAGGUUUAUUCACCAAUGUUGGGAUGGUUUAAUGAUGAACAUUGUCAAUCUUUUGAAAUGAAUAAGAGCUUCACUUAUAUGUGCAAACUGAGUUGCAAUAUUUUCAUGCCUUCUACUUCUUGUGCUAAUUUUUUGGCUUUAGAUUUUAUGAACUAUGCAAGUUACUCAUCUAUUCAUGUGUCAUAUAUGCAAAAAUCAAGGGAAGUAAAAAUGGAUGACAUAUACAUAUACAACAUGUACACCUUGUCUCCUUUGUUAGCCACAUUUCAGAUUAAGCAACGCCGAGGACGGCUUUAUUUUCAAGAAGGGGAGGAUGAUGAGGACAUGACUACCUUGGAUAUGACCAAAAAUAUUGCAUAUAUGCAUAUUUGUCAGGUGAUUUCUAGUGCAAACUAUUCAAUAAUCUAUUUAUGUUAUCCAGAACAAAAAUACUUCACACACUUUUGUGUUUUGUCUAAUUGCAGGUGUAUGGGACAUUUGUACAAUCCACAUAUGAAGAUAAGGAAGAAAGAGAUGUUUAUUUGCUGUCCAAAAAGUUCUCUCACGUCACUUUUGGCCCAAGAGAAGAUAGAGUCCAGGUCUCUCACGUUCUGGAUUCAGAUUCGGACUGCACAGACACACCUGACUCAAAACGCACACAAGUUUUUCAUACGGACUCCGAAUUGGGUGAUUCUUUUUUUGUUGGAAACUAGAUUUCGUGCACUUUCCAACCCAAUUGGAAUCACCUUCAAAUUCGUCCGGAGCAUUGAGUUGUGGACGAAACAAUCUGAUGCUGCAGCAGAAUCCGAGUCAAACUACAAGUCCAAAGGUGUUACAUCACCUCCACUUGGGCCCAUUGGCCUUGUACGACCUAGAUUUAGUUUUAGGAUGCCUUGGGACGUCCUCCCACCUCCUUGGCCGCCACCCCUUGCUCCUAUAUAAGUAGAUCCAUCUAGUAGCUUUUCCUUGGGAUUUGUUUAGUUAAAAGUUAGCCAUUGCAACUUUGUGAACUUUGUUUGUGUCCAACGACCAGACCAAGACCGUUUACGGAUCCCCACCUUUAUCAAUACUUCAUCUAUAUUCGCAAUAUUCAGAUUGCUUUAUCAUAUUCUUGCUUGUUCUUCGAUUGCUUGCAGGAAUAGACCUUCGUGGUCAGGUUGAUUGUGCUCUGGCGUGGUCAAUAACCUCUCGGAGUUGGUUUAGCGAUUGCUAAGGCGCAACGUCGUGCACGUUUGUAGUCGAAUCGUCAAAGUCGUCUCCACCAAAUCGAUAGUUAUCAUCUCAUCGAAAGAUCGAGACACCCCCGCUUCUAUCAAGUCUCCUCAUCAUAGUCACUAGCGGACUCAUACCCACCAUCCUCAGUAACAAUCAUCACACGCUUAGAUGGGCAUUCUCUCGCAUAAUGACCUCCACCUUUGCAACGUCGACAAAUAAUAUCAUGUGUUUGCCCUGUUGAUGCCAUGGAUGAAGAAGAGCUCUUUGCAGGCCCAGAAGGUGUGCUCUUGGUAGAUAGUGGUGAUUGUGCCUGCUUUAUUGUAUCACGGUUGGAGGUGGCAGCCGACGGAGGCGCCGGUGUAGCAGAACGUGUGGAAGUAGAUGAUGCACGUGGUGUCCAUGAUGAAGGUCGACCUGCAGAAAAGUUAGUCCGCGCCAAUGCCUGUCGAUCCUGCACUUCACGUUCAGCUUUACAAGCAAGAUGGAAUAAACGAGUGAUAUUAGUAUACUCCUUAUACUCUAGAAUGGUCUGAAUCUCUCUAUUUAAUCCACCCAUAAAACGUGCAAGCAUAGCUUCAUUCUCCUCAACAAUACCACAUCUAAUCAUGCCAGUUUGUAAUUCCUGAUAAUAUUCUUCUACAGAAUUUUUUCCCUGUCUUAAGCGCUGCAAUUUUUGAAGUAAUUCACGUUGAUAAUAUGGUGGAACCCAACGAGUACGCAUAGCAGUUUUCAAAGCAGCCCAAGUAGCCGGAAUAGGAUAUAAUCUACAAUGCUCAGACCACCAAACACAUGCAAAACUAGUGAAUGCACAAAUAGCAGCAGGAACACGUCUCUCCUCGGGAUAUUGUAAACAUGUAAAUCGUUGUUCAGUUUCUAACUCCCAAGUAAGAUAUAUAUCAGGAACAUAUCUACCCUCAAAUGGUGGAAUAUUCAACUUUAGUUUAGGGAGAUGGUCAUGAUCUCGUACCUGAGGGUGAGCCCUACCAUUGCCAUUAUUUGCAUGUGGACGACCUGGUGGUUGUUGUGCUGGUGGUGGCACGUACUUCUGAUUUUGAUCAACCUCAUCCUCAUAAUCUCCCACAUAAUCAUCCUCCUCCACAUCAGCAGUAGGAGCCACAAAAGUAUCAACAGCGGCACCAUCAGUUUGGCCCGACUGAAGAGGGACACGGCUCGCUCGGCGGAGGGCUGUUUCCCGACGUGGAGGUAGUCGAUGUUGUUGCUGUUGUUGCAGAGGUGCGGCAGGAGCAGCCGGUGGUGGUGGUGGAAAACGCGAAAGCAAUUCAGCAAACUUGUUAUCGAGCUUUGUUUCAAACGUCUUCUCCAUGCCAUCUAUCUUCUCCAUGGCCUCUUCAAAUCUGUUUAUCACAUCUUGCACCUGUCCACUCAUCAUUUGUUGAAACGUAUCAUGAAGCUCCUUGUUCGUCAAGUUCUCCCAGUCAGUCUCGUCGGCUUGUGAUCCUGGCAUGGUUAGCAGCAAUAGAAACACACGAGAAUAUGAUCCUACAGACUACUAACAAGUGGUGGUGGUGGCGGGUGUCACAAAUCCGUCAAGCAAAUCUCAAAUUCUUACCAGUUCUUACCCAGCAACAGGUGGUGAUCGGCAACCGUUGUAGUCAAAACUCUCAAAAGCUUGGAUAGAGUGAUUGCCAGGGAGAGUCAAACGCACGACGUAGAUGUAUGUGGAGCUGGGAAGGCUUAUAGUAUGGUAGCAAAAAAGGUCAGCAAUAAUCAAUUCAGAGAUGCAAAGUUGAAUAAACGCUCAACGACGGUACUGUGCUGGUCCUAGGCUAGACCGUGCUAGAGACGCGAGCCUAGAACACUAACAAAAUCACGGCGCUGCACGUAAAUAAGGGAAAAGCACACUCUGGAACUCUCUUUUUUUCGCUCUUUUUUUGCGCUCCUCUUUUUUUUGCGAGAAAUCACUAUAAUGGCGAGUGUCUCAAAACUCUUCCCUCGUCAAACUGAUAGGAUGGGCACGAAUUUUUUUUCACUUUUUUCGGAAAUCAGGGCAGCGACGAUGAAAAAGUGCGACAAAAAAUCACUAUGAUGGCACGUGGCUCAAAAGACUCAGAAAAGCCUAAAAAUAGGAUAGGGAAAAAAAACUUGCCCGUGAAAAUUUUGGCCUAAAAACUGCCAGGGGGUCUCCAGACUUUUUUUUUCCGAGACCUACGCAGGCAAGGAAACACGAAUCAGAAUUUAGAUUGAUCUCAAGAACAAACCUAAUAUGAGAAGAACUCGGAUUGGUGGUGGAUAUAUGGUUGUGGUAUAUGGCAGCGGUGGUGGUAUAUGGAUACAGAUUGGUGGUGGUAUAUGGAUACGGAUUGGUGGUGGUAUAUGGAUAUGGAUUCAGAGCGGUGGCGGAUAAGCAAAAGUGGUAGAUGGGCGAUGAUGAUGGUGCAGCGGCGGCGUGACAACUUAUGACCAGAACUCGAAACUCUAAAAGACUAGACUCUAAGACCAGCAACUUGACACGACGAUGCAACCGCAAAUUCAACAAAGCAAAAACCCUAAAAAGAUUAUGCAAAGGCUCAGAUUGGUUCGGAUAUGAUGAACUAACCCUGAUUUUUUUUUUCUGGCUUUUUCGUGGACUGUAGGUAUGAAGAACAGACUCGAUCUAAUCUACGAAAAACUGUAAAAUCUCACCGAGCAACCUGGAAAUCUGAUACCACUUGAUAGAGGCUAAGGUGUCCCGAUGUUUCGAUGAGAUGGUGGCUAUCGUUUUCUCUGGGAGUCGACCUUGACGAUCCGACUACGAACGUGCGAGACGUCGCGCCUUAGCAACCGCUAAACCAACUUCCGAGGGUUAUUGACCACGCCGGAGCACGAUCAACCUGACCAUGAGGGUCUGUUUCCUGCGAGCAAAUGAAGAACAAGCAAGAAACUGAGACUGCAAUUGGGAUAUUGCGAAUAUAAGAUGAAAGCUUUAUUGAUCAAGGUGGGGUUCUGUGACGUCUUGGUCUGGUCGUUGGACACAAACGAAGUACGCGAAGUUGCAGCUAUGGCGAACUUUUAAUCUAAACAAAACCCCAAAGUCUAAACGACGCCCUAAGGGCUGUAUAUAUGGAGGAAGAGGGGGGAAUUUCGUGGCCCUUGAGGGUGGGGUCCGAAACCAACCCUAACUCUUGUUUCCCCACACAUACGGACUCUAAAAAUAGCCUAUACUUAAGUAUUUCGAAAUUACAUGGGCCUGGCCCAUUAAUAAGGUGACGCAGCACCUAGAAUAGCCUAUGGACGAAUAUUAUGAAGUGGCAUCUUGUAUAUUUCGUCCAAGGCUUCAUGCACUCCUUAUGGCGGCUUCAAAGUCCUGAAAUCAUCACUUGUAACUUCGUUCUUGAUCCCCUUGCGCAUGCCAUCAACUCCAUGCGUGUUCUUGCUCCAAUGUUCAUCCUUCUCCAAGCUAGGCCCUUCAUUUGUAAGCAAAACAAAUGUAUCCAAUUUAGGCAGCAUCAUAAUCUCAUGAACAUUAGAAUCAUUACCAAGAAACGAAAGUACCUGGUAAUUUAAUUGGCGUGCGCGAGCUCUAGUAAUUGGUCCAGUAUAUGUAACAGUAGGGGCUGCGGGUGUAACAAUGGUAUUGAUGUCCUCAUCAGGGCAAGUCAGUCAAAGUCCAUACUUCGUUUCAUACAUGGAUCCUAUCUCGGAUUUCAUGGCUUCCAGCCAUUUGUCGGAAUCCGGGCCUGCCAUCGCUUCUUCAUAGUUCGAAGGUUCACCGUUGUCUAACAACAUGAUUUCCAAGACAGGGUUGCCGUACCACUCUGGUGCAGAACGUGUCCUUGUGGACCUACGAAGUUCAGUAGCAACUUGAUCUGAAGUUUCAGGAUCAUCAUCAUCAACUUCCUCUCUAGUCGGUGCAGGCACCUCAGAAACAUUUUCUUGAGCUGUGCCACUUACCGGUUCAAGAGGUAAUACUUCAUCAAGUUCUACCUUCCUCCCACUUAUUUCUUUUGAGAGAAACUCUUUCUCUAGAAAGGACCCAUUCUUGGCAACAAAGAUCUUGCCUUCGGAUCUGAGGUAGAAGGUAUACCCAACAGUUUCUUUAGGGUAUCCUAUGAAGACGCAUUUUUCCGACUUGGGUUCGAGCUUUUGAGGUUGAAGUUUCUUGACAUAAGCAUCGCAUCCCCAAACUUUUAGAAACGACAGCUUAGGUUUCUUCCCAAACCAUAAUUCAUACGGUGUCAUCUCAACGGAUUUUGACGGAGCCCUAUUUAAAGUGAAUGCGGCAGUCUCUAAAGUAUAGCCCCAAAAUGAUAGCGGUAAAUCGGUAAGAGACAUCAUAGAUCGCACCAUAUCUAAUAGAGUGUGAUUACGACGUUCGGACACACCAUUACGCUGAGGUGUUCCAGGCGGCGUGAGUUGUGAAACUAUUCCACAUUUUCUUAAGUGUGUGCCAAAUUCGUGACUCAAGUAUUCUCCCCCACGAUCUGAUCGCAAGAACUUGAUUUUCCUAUCACGUUGAUUCUCAACCUCAUUCUGAAAUUCCUUAAACUUUUCAAAGGUCUCAUACUUGUGUUUCAUUAAGUAGACAUACCCAUAUCUACUCAAGUCAUCAGUGAGGGUGAGAACAUAACGAUAGCCACCGCGAGCCUCAACACUCAUUGGACCGCACACAUCAGUAUGUAUGAUUUCCAAUAAGUUGGUUGCUCGCUCCAUUGUUCCUGAGAACGGAGUCUUGGUCAUCUUACCCAUGAGGCAUGGUUCGCACGUGUCAAAUGAUUCAUAAUCAAGAGACUCUAAAAGUCCAUCUGCAUGGAGCUUCUUCAUGCGUUUGACACCUAUGUGACCAAGGCGGCAGUGCCACAAGUAUGUGGGACUAUCAUUAUCAACCUUACAUCUUUUGGUAUUCACACUAUGAAUAUGUGUAGCAUUACGCUUGAGAUUCAUUAAGAAUAAACCAUUCACCAUCGGAGCAUGACCAUAAAACAUAUCUCUCAUAUAAAUAGAACAACCAUUAUUCUCGGAUUUAAAUGAGUAGCCAUCUCGUAUUAAACGAGAUCCUGAUACAAUGUUCAUGCUCAAAGCUGGCACUAAAUAACAAUUAUUGAGGUUUAAAACUAAUCCCAUAGGUAAAUGUAGAGGUAGCGUGCCGACGGCGAUCACAUCGACCUUGGAACCAUUUCCGACGCGCAUCGUCACCUCGUCCUUCGCCAGUCUCCGUUUAUUCCGCAGCUCCUUUCGUGAUGCCGGCCUUCUUGUCCACUAAGUAUUUGGGGCAGUUCCGCUUCCAGUGACCACUUCCCUUGCAAUAAAAACACUCAGUCUCGGGCUUGGGUCCAUUCUUUGGCUUCUUCUCGGCAGCUUGCUUACCGGGCACGGCAACUCCCUUGCCGUCCUUCUUGAAGUUCUUCUUACCCUUGCCUUUCUUGAACUUAGUGGUUUUAUUCACCAUCAACACUUGAUGUUCCUUUUUGACUUCUACCUCUGCUGAUUUCAGCAUUGCAAAUACUUCAGGAAUGGUCUUUUCCAUCCCCUGCAUAUUGAAGUUCAUCACAAAGCUCUUGUAGCUCGGUGGAAGCGACUGAAGGAUUCUGUCAAUGACCGCGUCAUCCGGGAGAUUAACUCCCAUCUGAGUCAAGCGGUUAUGCAACCCAGACAUUUUGAGUAUGUGCUCAUUGACAGAACUAUUUUCCUCCAUCUUACAGCUGAAGAACUUGUCGGAGACUUCAUAUCUCUCGACCCGGGCAUGAGCUUGAAAAACCACUUUCAGCUCUUCGAACAUCUCAUAUGCUCCGUGUCUCUGAAAUCACUUUUGGAGCCCCGGUUCUAAGCUGUAAAGCAUACCGCACUGAACGAGGGAGUAAUCAUCAGCACAUGUCUGCCAAGCGUUCAUAACGUCUUGGUUCUGUGGGACGGGUGCGUCACCUAGCGGUGCUUCUAGGACAUAAUCUUUCUUGGCAGCUAUGAGGAUGAUCCUCAGGUUCCGGACCCAGUCCGUAUAGUUGCUGCCAUCAUCUUUCAGCUUGGUUUUCUCUAGGAAUGCGUUGAAGUUGAGGACAACGUGGGCCAUUUGAUCUACAAGACAUAUUGUAAAGAUUUUAGACUAAGUUCAUGAUAAUUAAGUUCAUCUAAUCAAAUUAUUAAAUGAACUCCCACUCAGAUAGACAUCCCUCCAGUCAUCUAAGUAUAACAUGAUCCGAGUUAACUAGGCCGUGUCCGAUCAUCACGUGAGACGGACUAGUCAACAUCGGUGAACAUCUUCAUGUUGAUCGUAUCUUCUAUACGACUCAUGCUCGACCUUUCGGUCUUCUGUGUUCCGAGGCCAUGUCUGUACAUGCUAGGCUCGUCAAGUCAACCUAAGUGUAUUGCGUGUGUAAAUCUGUCUUACACCCGUUGUAUUCGAACGUUAGAAUCUAUCACACACGAUCAUCACGUGGUGCUUCGAAACAACGAACCUUCGCAACGGUGCACAGUUAGGGGAACACUUUCUUGAAAUUAUUACGAGGGAUCAUCUUAUUUAAGCUACCGCCGUUCUAAGCAAAUAAGAUGUAAAACAUGAUAAACAUCACAUGCAAUCAAAUAGUGACAUGAUAUGGCCAAUAUCAUUUGCUCCUUUGAUCUCCAUCUUCGGGGCUCCAUGAUCAUCGUUGUCACCGGCAUGACAACAUGAUCUCCAUUAUCAUGUCUUCUUGAAGUUGUCUCGUCAUCUAUUACUUCUACUACUAUGGCUAAUGCUUUAGCAAUAAAGUAAAGUAAUUACAUGACGUUUAUGUUGACACGCAAGUCAUAAAUAAAUAAAGACAACUCCUAUGGCUCUUGCCGGUUGUCAUACUCAUCGACAUGCAAGUCGUGAUUCCUAUUACAAGAACAUGAUCAAUCUCAUACAUCACAUAUAUCAUUCAUCAUUCAUACAACACAAGUUAGACGUCAUAUCACAUCACAAAACACUUGCUGCAAAAACAAGUUAGACGUCCUCUAAUUGUUGUUGCAAGUUUUUACGUGGCUGUUAUAGGUUUCUAGCAAGAACGUUUCUUACCUACGCCAAAACCACAACGUGAAUUGCCAAUUUCUAUUUACCCUUCAUAAGGACCCUGUUCAUCGAAUCCGAUCUGACUAAAGUGGGAGAGACAGACACCCGCCAGCCACAUUAUACAACUAGUGCAUGUCAGUCAGUGGAACCGGUCUCACGUAAGCGUACGUGUAAGGUUGGUCCGAGCCGCUUCAUCCCACGAUGCCGCCGAAUCAAGAUAAGACUAGUAACGGCAAGCAAAUUGACAAUAUCGACGCCCACAACUACUUUGUGUUCUACUCAUGCAUAGUAACUACGCAUAGACCUAGCUCAUGAUGCCACUGUUGGGGAUCGUAGCAGAAAUUAAAAAAAUUCUACGCAUCACCAAGAUCAAUCUAUGGAGUAUUCUAGCAACGAGGGGAAUAGGAGUGCAUCUACAUACCCUUGUAGAUCGCGAGCGGAAGCGUUCAAGUGAACAGGGAUGAUGGAGUCGUACUCGCCGUGAUCCAAAUCACCGAUGACCAAGUGCCGAACGGACAACACCUCCGCGUUCAACACACGUACGGUUGGGAAGACGUCUCCUCCUUCUUGAUUCAGCAAGGGGGAAGGAGAGGUUGAUGAAGAUCCAGCAGCACGACGGCGUGGUGGUGGAUGCAGCAGGAUCCCGGCAGGGCUUCGCCAAGCAGAAGCGGGGAGGAGAGGUGUUACGGGGGGAGAGGGACGCGCCAAGAGCAAGGUACGGCUGCCCUCCCUCCCUUCCACUAUAUAUAGGGGCUAGGGGGGCGCAUGCCCCCUUGGAGAUCCCAUCUAAAAGGGGCGGCCCGGCGGCCCCUGGGGGCAACGGCCCCCUUAGGGUUUCCAAACAAGGGGGAGCAUGCCCCCUCGGGGGGCAACGGCCCCCUAGGGUUUCCAACCCUAGGCGCCUUGGGCCCUUGGGUGGGGCGCACCAGCCCAUUAGGGGCUGGUUCCCACGCCACUUCAGCCCAUGGGGCCCUCCGGGAUAGGUGGCCCCAUCCGGUGGACCCCCGGGACCCUUCCGGUGGUCCCGGUACAAUACCGGUAACCCCCGAAACCUUCCCGCUGGCCGAAACUUGACUUCCUAUAUAUAAAUCUUUACCUCUGGACCAUUCCGGAACUCCUCGUGAUGUCCGGGAUCUCAUCCGGGACUCCGACAACUUUCGGGUUACUGCAUACUAAUAUCUCUACAACCCUAGCGUCACCGAACCUUAAGUGUGUAGAGCCUACAGGUUCGGGAGACACGCAGACAUGACCGAGACGCCUCUCCGGUCAAUAACCAACAGCGGGAUCUGGAUACCCAUGUUGGCUCCCACAUGCUCCUCGAUGAUCUCAUCGGAUGAACCACGAUGUCGAGGACUUAAUCAAUCCCGUAUUCAUUUCCCUUUGUCAAUCGGUACGAUACUUGCCCGAGACUCGAUCGUCGGUAUCCCAAUACCUUGUUCAAUCUCGUUACCGGCAAGUCACUUUACUCGUACCGUAAUGCAUGAUCCCGUGACCAACCCCUUGGUCACAUUGAGCUCAUUAUGAUGAUGCAUUACCGAGUGGGCCCAGAGAUACCUCUCCGUCAUACGGAGUGACAAAUCCCAGUCUCGAUUCGUGCCAACCCAACAGACACUUUUGGAGAUACCCGUAGUGCACCUUUAUAGCCACCCAGUUACGUUGUGACAUUUGAUACACCCAAAGCACUCCUACGGUAUCCGGGAGUUGCACAAUCUCAUGGUCUAAGGAAAUGAUACUUGAAUUAGAAAAGCUCUCACAAAAUGAACUUACACGAUCUUUGUGCUAUGCUUAGGUUUGGGUCUUGUCCAUCACAUCAUUCUCCUAAUGAUGUGAUCCCGUUAUCAAUGACAUCCCCAUGUCCAUAGCCAGGAAACCAUGACUAUCUGUUGAUCAACGAGCUAGUCAACUAGAGGCUCACUAGGGACACAUUGUGAUCUAUGUAUUCACACAUGUAUUAUGAUUUCCGGAUAAUACAAUUAUAGCAUGAAUAAUAGACAAUUAUCAUGAACAAGGAAAUAUAAUAAUCAUUUUAUUAUUGCCUCUAGGGCAUAUUUCCAACACAAGUGCCCUAGGUUUUAGGGUUUUGUCCAGAUUUAGACUAGGGAUUAUAAAUAAGGAAAGAGGGAGAGUUUAGGGGCUAAUGCGUCCCUCCAAAUAAAAUCUAACGGUCGAGAAAAAUAGACUAAGAACUCUAAAAGAGAAAACGGUGAUGUUUUGUAGACGUUUGGGGAUGAUCCGGACACAACGGUGACGACUGUUCGGGUCGGGUCCGGGACAAUUUUCGGACGCACGCGCGAGGAGGUCCGAUGCACUAUGCAAAGAGGGGUAGGCAUGGGCCUAGGUGGAUUGUGGAGAGCGGGUUGGUCUGAGAGAAGAGGGGAGAGAGGUAGCCCGGCAUGAUUUCCGGAGACCGAAAAUGUCCGACGAUAGACCGGCUAUACUGCCGCUAUAGUUAUCCGUUGGGGCGUCAAACGAACUCCGAUUGCGAUGAAACUUGACAGGCGGUCUAUCUACACUAUAAUAAGAGCACACGCCAACUUUCAUCCCAUUUCGAGAACAUUUCCCGUCCGCUUAUAAAAUAAUAUUUCGGACGUGCCAUGGGCGCGUGCAAGUGUGGUUGGGCUCAGAACGGACAACGGAGAGAACGGGGAGGCCGGGACAGAUGCAAGUUUCUAAAACAUGAUGAUGCAAUGCACAUGAUGACAUGACAAGAUGCGACACGCAAGCAAAUGACAAAGCAACAACAGCGAAUAACUGGAGGACAACUGGCACAUCGGUCUUGGGGCGUUACACAAAGGCUCAUGUAUCUGUCUUUCCCACUUACCCCUUCGUGGCUUAGACUAUAUAUACUACUCCCCCCUCCUAGUUAGUGUUAGCAUUGUUUUAGCUCAUUUAGAGAUAGAGCAUUGCUCAUCCACAUCGGAUCUACUCCACGAGAGAGAUCGCGGCCUCUACGGAGAAGAUCCCUUUGGAUUCAAGACCUCCUUGCGGAGAAGAUCAUCAAGACCCCCUUUUGGGCGGCCCCAUCAAGACCUCCUCACGGAGAAGACCGUUACCUCUUGUAUCGUCCGUUGUUGACUUUGGAUCUUGUAUCUCUCUUUGUGUUCAUGGAUCUAGCGCAUGUGUGAUCAUUCUUGUCGGUUUUGAGUGUUCUCUUGUGUUCCCCUCGUUUCCCUCCUCAUAUUCUUCGUGUUCUUCACGGGAUCCGCUCCUUUCGUGAAAGAUCGGCCACUAGGGCUCCACCCUACAUCAUAAUGCCUUCCCCUAGGCCCAAACAAUGGUGAAUUUUCAUGUAGUCGACGUUCACAUAACACCACUAGAGGAAAGACAACAUACAUCUCAUCAAAAUAUCGAACGAAUACCAAAUUCACAUGACUACUUAUAGCAAGACUUCUCCCAUGUCCUCAGGAACAAACGUAACUACUCACAAAUCAUAUUCAUGUUCAUAAUCAGAGGGGUAUUAAUAUGCAUAAAGGAUCUAAACAUAUGAUCUUCCACCAAGUAAACCAACUAGCAUCAACUACAAGGAGUAAUCAACACUACUAGCAACCCACAGGUACCAAUAUGAGGUUUUGAGACAAAGAUUAGAUACAAGAGAUGAACUAGGGUUUGAGAUGAGAUGGUGCUGGUGAAGGUGUUGAUGGAGAUUGACCCCCUCCCGAUGAGUGGAUCGAUGGUGAUGACGAUGGCGAUGAUUUCCCCCUCCCGGAGGGAGGUUUCCUCGACAGAACAGCUCCGCCGGAGCCCUAGAUUGGUUCCGCCAAAGUUCCGCCUCGUGGUGGCGGAGUUUCGUCCCGUAAGCUUGCUUAUGAUUUUUUCCGGACGAAAGACCUCAUAUAGCAGAAGAUGGGCACCAGAGGGCUGCCAGGGGGCCCACGAGGCAGGGGGGCGCGCCUAGGGGGUAGGGCGCGCUCCCACCCUCGUGGAUGGUGGGUGGCCCCCCUCUGGAACUUCCUUCGCCCAAUAUUUUUUAUAUAUUCUGAAACGUGCUACCGUGAAGUUUCAGGACUUUUGGAGUUGUGAAGAAUAGGUCUCUAAUUUUCCAGCCCAGAAUUCCAGCUGCCGGCAUUCUCCCUCUUCAUGUAAACCUUGUAAAAUAAGAGAGAAUAGGCAUACGUAUUGUGACAUAAUGUGUAAUAACAGCCCAUAAUGCAACAAAUAUCGAUAUAAAAGCAUGAUGCAAAAUGGACGUAUCAUUACUCAUGCCUUUUGGGUUAACUAAUGCACCUAGCACUUUCAUGAGAUUAAUGAACAAAGUUUUACGUGCUUUCAUUAGACGAUUUAUGGUAGUCUAUUUUGAUGAUAUACUGAUUUAUAGCAGAUCUUUGGAGGAAUAUUUGGAACAUUUACAUGUUGUUUUUAUUCCUUUACGUGAUGCACAUUUGUUUGGUAACCUUGGGAAGUGCACCUUUUGCACCGACCGAGUAUCUUUUUUUGGCUAUGUUGUUACUCCAUAGGGAAAUGAAAUUGAUAAAACCAAGAUUGAAGCUAUUGAGAGUUGGCCGCAGCCCAAAACGGUCACACAAGUGAGGAGUUUUCUUGGCCUUGUUGGUUUCAAUAGGCGUUUUGUGAGAGAUUGCAGCAGGAUUGCUCCACCACUCAAUGAGCUUACAAAGAAGGAUGUGCCUUUUGUUUAGGGUACCACACAGGAAGAAGCCUUCACGAUAUUGAAAGAUAAGUUGACACAUGCUCCUUUACUCCAACUUCCUGAUUUUAAUAAGACUUUUGAGCUUGAAUGUGAUGCUAGUGGAAUUGGAUUAGGAGGUGUGUUAUUAUAAGAUGGCAAACCUAUUGCAUACUUUUCUGAGAAAUUGAGUGGGCCUAGUCUAAACUAUUCUACUUAUGAUAAAGAAUUAUAUGCUCUUGUCCAGACCUUAGAAACAUGGCAAUAUUAUUUAUGGCCCAAACAAUUUGUUAUACAUUCUGAUCAUGAAUCUUUGAAACACAUUAAAAGUCAAGCAAAACUGAACUAUAGACAUGCUAAAUGGGUUGAAUUCAUUGAGACUUUCCCUUAUGUCAUUGAACACAAGAAGGGUAAAGAAAAUGUUAUUGCUGAUGCAUUGUCUCGUCGUUAUGCUAUGCUUUCACAACUUGAUUUUAAAAUAUUUGGUUUGGAGACUAUCAAAGAUCAAUACCUGCAUAAUGCUGAAUUUAAAUAUGUAUUGCAGAAUUGUAAAGAAGGGAGAACAUGGAACAAGUUCGUCAUUAACGAUGGAUUUAUGUUUCGUGCUAACAAGCUAUGCAUUCCAGCUAGCUCCGUUCGUCUUUUGUUGUUGCAGGAGGCACAUGGAGGAGGAUUAAUGGGACACUUUGGCGUCAAGAGAUGGAGGACGUACUUGCUACACAUUUCUUUUGGCCAAAGAUAAGAUAGGAUGUUGAGCGUUUUGUUGCUCGCUGCACUAAAUGUCAAAAAGCUAAGUCACGACUCAAUCCUCAUGGUUUAUAUAUGCCUUUGCUUGUACCUAGUGUUCCAUGGGAGGAUAUAUCUAUGGACUUUGUUUUAGGUUUACCUCGAACAAAGAAGGGGAGGGAUAGCAUAUUUGUUGUCGUGGAUAGAUUUUCAAAAAUGGGACACUUUAUACCAUGUCAUAAAAGCGAUGAUGAUGCUAAUGUUGUUGAUUUGUUCUUUCGUGAAAUUGUUCGCUUGCAUGGUGUGCCAAAUGCAAUUGUUUCAGAUCAUGGUACUGAGUUUCUUAGCCACUUUUGGAGAUGUUUUGGGCUAAGUUGGGGACUAAACUGCUUUUUAGUACUACAUGUCAUCCCCAAACUGAUGGACAAACUGAAGUAGUCAAUAGAACAUUAUCUACUAUGCUUAGGGCUGUUUUGAAGAAUAACAGGAAAAUGUGGGAAGAAUGCUUGCCUCAUAUUGAAUUUGCUUAUAAUCGUUCGUUGCAUUCUACGACUAAGAUGUGCCCUUUUGAGAUUGUGUAUGGUUUCCUACCUCGUGCACCCACUGAUUUGUUGCCUCUUUCAUAUUUGGAGAAGGUUAAUUUUGAUGCUAAACAACAUGUUGAAUUGAUCUUAAAAAUGCAUGAGUUAACUAAGGAGAACAUUGUGCGUAUGAAUGCUAAAUAUCACUUCAACAAAGUUGGGGGUGAAUACUAAUCAUUUUAAGAUCUUCAUUGUUGCUACUAGAAGUGGCACCUUGUUUUUAGAAACAUGUGUAGACUUGCAAUUCUUACUAGUAGGAGUUUUUUCGAUAGUUUUAACGGAAGAAAAAGCUGGUCUCAAGUUACUAGAAAUAUCUUCCAACUUAUAAAUCCGAGCGAGGCUCUCUUCUACCCUUUCGUUAACUACAGGUCAUUUUUCUUUUAAUAAUUUAAGAGAAUCUCCCGCCUUUGAUCCUAUCUUAUUAGCAAGGUUAUGGAUCCUUUUAUCCAAAAUUUCAGUAUGUUCUUUGGUGAGCAUUUUCUUUUCAAUAGCAUGUAGCCUUUGCAUAACAUGCUCAAGAGUUAAAAUUGUUUCAUUAAUAAUGAUAGGUGGUGAUCCCACUAAAUUUCCCAUGGCAUUAAAAGCAUCCAAAGUGGGAACAUCAAGAAAUUCCCUCCAGUAAUAGUAUUAAGAAUGAAUCUAUACCAAGUGGUAAUGCCCACAUAAAAAUUACGAAGAAGGAUAGUGGUAGAUUGCUUAUGAAUAUAUUUAUUAUGAGCAUCACAAAUUCUAUACCAAGCAUCUUUUAAAUUCCCCCUCCCCUUUGCUUAAAAUUGAAAACUUCAUUCUCAGGGGUACACGUAGUGGGGGAAGAACUAGCCAUAAUGAUAAAGUAGCCAAGCAAGAUCACACGCAAACAAAAGAUAGAUCGAUAAAAUGGCAAACUAAAAGAAGGCAAAUAUUCUUGUGUUUUUGUAAAAAUGUUUUAGAAGUGGGGGAGAUGAAAACGAGAGGCAAAUGGCAAAUAAAGUAAAUGGCAAGGAGAUGAGAUUUGUGAUUGGGUACCUGAUAGAUGUUGAUGAUGUCUUCCGGGCAAAGGCGCCAGAAAUUGGCAAGUUGACGGGAGAAUAUAUUGACUUGAUCCUCCCCAUCAACGACGCCGGAAAUUCUUCCUGAUUGCUUGUAUCUGCGGUGGUAUUUCCCCGAAGAGGAGAGGAUGAUGCAGCACAACAAUGGUAAUUAUUUUCCUCAGUUAUGAAACCAAGGUUAUCAAUCCAGUAGGAGAGCCAAGCAACACCAUGUAAACCACACCUGCACACAGAUAACAAAUACUUGCAACCCAAUGCGUAAGAGGGGUUGUCAAUCCCUUCUCGAUAUUGAGAUAGAUAAAAUUGUAUGAUAUUUGAUAAAUAGAUCUGACAAAACACAAAAUAAAAUAGAUAAAGGUAUUUCUGGGUUUUUGGAAUAAUAGAUCUGGAAAAAAAUGAUAGGAAAUAGACCUGGGGCCCGUAGAUUUCACUAGUAGCUUCUCUCGAGAAAAUAACAUAAGGUGGGUAAACAAAUUACUGUUGGGCAAUUGAUAGAAAAGCAAAUAAUCAUGACGCUAUCCAAGGCAAUGGUCAUGUAUAUAGACAUCACGUCCAAGAUCAGUAGACUAACUCCUGCCUGCAUUUACUACUAUUACUCCACACAUCGACUGCUAUCCAGCAUGCAUCUAGUGUAUUAAGUUCAUGAAAAAAGGAGUAAUGCAAUAAGAACGAUGACAUGAUGUAGACAAGAUCUAUUCAUGUAGGAAUAGACCCCAUCUUUUUAUCCUUAAUGGAAACAAUACAUGCGUGUCAUGUCUUCUUCUGUCACUGAGAAUAAGCACCGCAAGAUCGAACCCCUCACAAAGCACCUCUUCCCAUUGCAAGAAAAAUCAAUUCAGUUGGCCAAAUCAAACCAAAGCUUUGGAGAAGAAAUACGAGGCUAUAAAUAUCAUGCAUAAAAGAGUUCAGAGAAGACUCAAAUAAUAUUCAUAGAUAUAACUGAUCAUAAACUCGCAAUUCAUCGGAUCCCAACAAACACGGGCGGCGGCGGUUGUCGUGGCCCACAUGCUUCGUCUGGGCGACGCGACCCGCCCGGCGCUCGGCACGCUUGCGGCGAGUGUCGGCCAUGAAGCUGGCGAAGCGAAAGGCGGAGCGGAACGGAAGAACGGCAGCACACCCCUACCUGGCACGCCAAACGUCAGAAAUCGAGCUCUGGGGACCCAAAGGUUCGAACUCUAGGGUGGACACAUUCCUAUCGCCCUAUCCUUCCCUGCAGCUAACCACGGCGAGAGUGAGCUAGCAGGAGCGGGCCGGUGACACAACUGUUACCCAGGUUCGGGCCACCUUGCGGUGUAAAAUCCUACUCCUGCUUGGAUUGGGAUUGCACUCGCGAAAGAGAACGAGAGUAAAGGGUUGAGGAUCCAGUGGUCCACCUCUCUAUGAUGGCUCCCUGCCCCCCUUUUAUAUCUGCCUUGGUCCUCUUCCCCCAAAAAUAUUGGCGGGAAGGGUUGCCAUACAAUGGCAAUUUUGAAGGGGGACAGGGACGCAGUCUAUCCUGACAAAAGGUGGUCUUCGCCUGCAAAGCCACCAUCCAUGAUGCGCCGGUGGGCUCGGGGAUGACCUCCGCCCUGCGCAGCCGUCGUCUUGGUCUUCUUGCACCGAUCGGGCAACCUUUGGGGGUUGCUUUGGGAACCGGCGUGCUGGCCUUGCUCCCUUAGCACAAAAGCGGAAAUCCUCCUCAUCCGCGCCUGCUGGCACGACCUCUGGCGCCGUUCAUCGCCGCGCGCGUCACCCACGUGAUGACACGAGACCACGAGACCGAGCCGGGCAAUGCCUGCCUCGCAUGCCUUAGGGAGGGAGCCUCGGGAGGCAACCUCGGGAGGCUCUUGGUGAAGCCGCCUAGCCUGCUCGAGAUGCCCGCCUCCUGAAAAGGGGUCUCAUGAGGCCAAGCUCCGGUGAAGGGUCUUGUCCGUGGCGCCCGCUGGUAGGCCACUCAUUGGGCUCUUGACAUGCGUCGCGUCCUGGGCUGAAGGCAGAUGGCCUGGGUACCCCGGUUCCACGAGCCUGACACCAACAAUUCUCCUUUUCAAGUAAUCCCCCCGUUCCAUAAUGUAGUGCAUAUAAAUAUUAUUUUAAAAAUCAAACUUUGCAAAAUUUGACCAAGUUUAUAAACAAAACCAUUUAUAUCUAAAAUAUGAAAAUGCAUCUUAUAAUGAUACUAAUGAUAUGUGUUUGGCAUUCUGGAUGUAAAUGUUUUUCUCUACAAACUUGUUUGUGAGGUUUGACUUAAAAAAAACUAUAUGCACUAUAUUACAGAACAAGGAGUAUAAAAAAUUGGUUUAGGGGGGUUUAAGCAAAAAGAAAACCCUGCUCCAACAGGUCCUCACUUAGACUUAACACUCCUUGUGCCUCAUGGUAACAUCUUUGCGGAAGCAAAGAAUGAUAACAUCAGUUUACGCACCGGCCUCCACUUCAUCUCUUGCUCUAGUGAUCUUCUCCAUCGAUAAUGCUCAAAUUGUUACAAGUAUAGUUGCGUUUAAAGAUAGAUAUAGGCCCUGUUUGGUUCAGCUUUUAUCGCCGGAUUCCGCUGCCGCGCAGCAGAAUCUGAACCAAAGGGCAAACCCAGCAGAAUCUGAUUCCAGAAAUCUGCUGCCAAAAUCUGAACCAAAAACGGAAGCAGCCCAGGACGUGCUUUCCAAAAUCUGAUUCCGCUGCGGGCCAAAAUCUGAAAAGGUUGUAUCAGCUGGUUUGCCAAAUGACCUACAUCUUUUUCAAAUCAGAUUUUCCACAACUGUUUUUUCACAGCAGAUUUUUCACAGCUACUUUUAGAAAUCCACAGCCGAACCAAACAGGGCCAUAAGGAGUUAGAGAUAGAUAACGUAAUUUUUUUGGAAGGGCAAAAUGCAGUAUUAUAUACACGCAUGAUCCACAAUAAAUACAUACACACACGCACACACACAAUUCUAUGUAUGACCCAGUUGUAUUAUGUGUGCAGGAUCCCUAAUGAAUCCAUGCUUUUGACAGCAGUUAACCAAGUGUGUAUGACCAGCAAGCAGAUGUUUCAAACACACACACCCACUCUCUGAACCUGCAAAUGCAACACGUGAUCUGAUUUCAUGGUGCGUGCGCUGCAAGCGAUAGAGUCUACACCUCAUCUCCCGGCGCGUAACCUAGAGCGAGUGAAGAUGCCUGACCUUCUCAAUCGCCUCCUUGAUCCUCCGCGUCGGCUCCUCAUACAACAUUGUCGGGUCGUCAAACUGAGCAGCGAGGCUGGGCUCGUCGAGGAACGCGCGGAAGGUGUCAGCCACAGAGCUGGAGAGCGACUGCAGGUUGUAACCACCUUCCAGGAAGAAGACGCAGCGGCCGCUGCACAGCUCCCUGGCCAGCUGCUUGAUGCUCGACGCCAGCAUGUAGAACGUGCCCGUCGUGAACUGCAGACCCGCUAGAGGGUCCAGCGCGUGCGCGUCGUAGCUGACAGAAGGGUGGGUGGAGUCAACUUCGUGUGUUUGUGGAACAUCAAUAGUUUAGAUAUAAUAAUACUAUGAACAAUUUUCAUUGUCUACAUGAUUGAGAUUCAGAAUGAGAAGCCACCGUGUAUUUGAACAACUCCAGAGAAUCUUAACUUUCCUUUUUGGCAUGUUUCUGUUCUCAAGAUAAUAAUGUGGUUCUGAGGAACUCACCCAGCUGAAACGAGGAUGAUAUCGGGCUUGAACCGCUGCGCAGAUGGAGCAAUGACCUCAUCAAAGGCGCACCUCAUUGAGUAGUCACCUGAGCCACCGGGCAAUGGCAGGUUGAGCGUUGUUCCUUCGCCACUGCCCUGACCAAUUAGGUUCAUCUUACCAGUACCGGGAUAGCUUCCUAGCUACAUACACCAAAUUCAGAAAAGAAAAUGACUAUCAUGGUAAUGGUAAAAUAAGCCAGCAGUGAGUAUGUAAGGUGAUGGUCUGAUAGACCUGGUGGGUUGAGAGGAAGAAGAUGUCUGGAUCGUCAUAAAAGGCAUCAGAUGUGCCAUUGCCAUGGUGAACGUCAAAAUCUAUUAUCAUUACUCGCUUCAAUCCAUGUUGAUGCUGAGCGUACCGAGCUGCAACUGCAAUGUUCCCAAAGACGCAAAAGCCCAUGGGACCUUCAGGAACAGCAUGGUGUCCGGGUGGCCUUAUUAGCGCAAAUCCAAGAGGUGGACUUAGGCCCAGCUUUGAUGCGGCAACCUAGGAAAACAUACAACAUUUCUUGGGAAACGAGCACUGCAAAGGAAAAUUUACUAAAUCAUGAAAUAAGAAACACGCUGAAACCACCGAGGAAAUCAACUGGAAGAAAAUUAGUUACCACUGAAUCAACCAAUGUAAUUCCAGCACCAGCUGAAAGAAGUGAUUCUGCGAAAGUCUACAUAAACAAUGAAAUUACUUAGAGAAAGAAAAGGAAUAUCUAAAUUUUGAUGAGUACAAUUGUACUCCCUCCGUCCCGUAAUAUAAGACGUGCAAAAACGUCUUAUAAUAUAGGACGGAGGGAGUACAUAAUAUCAGUUAAGGAAGUAAAGAAUGAACUAUCCGCCGAGUUAAAAGAAAACUAAGAACUAUUCUCCUGGUCAAAGUAAAGUAUGAACUAUGAAAUUACUUAGAGAAAGAGAAGGAAUAUCUAAAUGUUGAUGAGUACAAUUGUACAUAAUAUCAAUUAAGGAAGUAAAGUACGAACUAUCUGCCGGGUCAAAGAAAACUAAGAACACUCUCCUGGUCAAAGGAAAGUAUGAAACUAUCCUCCUGGUCAAAGAAUGCACAAACUAUCUUUGGGAAAUAAUUCAAUCUUAUCAUAAGAAGUCAUUCCCUUAUUAACACUGCACAGAACAAUAUCAUCUUGGACUUCCUCUAUCAUAAGUAAGACUAAUAAUUUCACUAUCUGUUUCAUUUUGUUUAUAAAAAAGGGGCACAAAAUGCUCCAUCGCAUAAACGAAACUCUGUUCAUUUCAACAGAUUAAAUAAUGUAUCUGUUACAUUGUUUAAACAAUGGUUUGUCCUAAUGUUCCUUUCAACUUUGCACUGAGAGAUUGAGAGGUGCCAGAAUAGUUCUGAGCUGCUAGGUGACAUGUUUACAGGCAGCAAGCUAUGCAGCUCUACCUAACAUUCACAGCAUGAAUAUCAAGACCUCAACUAAUCACCAGGUCACUAGAUAAUACAUUUUUUUUCCUUUUUUUUUGAAGGCAAGACCAAAAUUUCUCUUGAUUUAAUAGGAAAAUAGAAGGUUUAUAAGUACAGCCUCUGGGAGUGCAUUCAUGAAACAGUAAAGUGCACAGAAGAUUGCCUCUGAAAGGCUUAGAAAAAAGAAAAAUAAUUAAGAAAGUGCAUAGAGCAUUACAGUCUGUGUAGCAUAUGUUGGUCCAGUUCCUUCGAUGAAUAUCAAACCUUCAUCCAAAGCCUUACUCAUAGCCUGCAAUAGUGACCUCUUUAAAGCUGUUUUUUUAUAGUCGGUUUGAUAUAUUUUCAACUAACAAGAUCUCAAUUCUUUAUUAAGUUGGGAAAAGGUAAUGCAGAUCAGAAGCAAUUGCUAUGAAUUCUUCUUUUUCUUCUCUGCAAAGUAGGACUACGACAACAACAAAAACGCCUGAUGGCAAUUACCUUUUCGAGUCCAGUGAUGUAUGUUCUUGAAUGAACUCGUGCAACAUCAUCAAGUGAAGCAGGGUAGAAAUUUUGGAUUUCAAGAACCUGUGAACCCCGAUGCUGGAUACAAAAAAAAAAGAUGUCAUAUAGUUACAAGCUCAUGUUAGAACGUUGAUUUUUUCAGUGAGAUGUGAUACAGUACAAAUGAGGAUAUGAGAAAGAAAUAUGCAAAACUUAUCGAGAUUUAACUGAAAACACUUAAAUUGUACUCCCUCCGUUCUAUAUUAGUUGUCGCUUGUACUAAAUCAGCGACAACUAAUAUGGAAUGGAGGGAGUAUCUUUUUCUUUGUUACUGUUUAUCUAUUUCUAUAGUCCAUUUUUAGCAUGCAAGAACAUGCAACUGCAUACUUUUGGAAAAAAUAGAGCAUGCCAGUUUUAACUGAAGUAUAUGUACAGAGAAAUUUAAAAGACAAGGGAAAAAAUACAUCUGUUAAAAACUUAUAAAUAUAAUAUUACAAAAGGUAUAAGAAGGCAAAGUUUUUUUUGUUGCUUACGUACCUUUGGUGUAAGCUCCAAUUUUUCGAGAGCAUCAACUAUUGCUGGCACUCUUUUGUUUGAUUCUGGAUGUGCUUCCUAAAUACCAUUAUACAGGGUAUAUUAGGAUAUAAAUCAGACAACACAAUUUGACAUGUCAUGAUUAUGCUACGAUGUACCAUUUAUUUUACAUAAUUUACACUUUGGAGUUUGGACACACAACUUACACAAUAUGAUUUGAUACCAGGAUGUCCCUAAGCAAGGAUUGUAUAUAAUAUAGCUCGACAGUAACUUAUUCUCUUAAAAGACUGAAGUAGCAAAACAUAGUUGGAUUAGGAGCCCAAUCGACAAAAAAUUGAUAGGAUAUCUUUUGUAUUUUAAACACUAUAACCUUUAUUCCCCUCAGUUUGAUCAAAAUUUAGUACCUCAAAUCACCCAGCAUCUACAUAUAUAUAAUACUUGUGACGUAGAUGUGAAAGCAGCAAAGCAUUGGAGAUAGCUUACCUUGUUAUGACCCAUGGCAGGAGAAGCACAAUAGAGGAUGCGAGCAUCACGAAGCAAACUAUCCGGCAAAGGUGAAUCCUUUGGAGCACCAUUUGCAUGUGAGAUAGAAGCUCCAUCGUGACUCGUCGCACACUGUGCAGGCCGACCCCCAUUCAGGUUCUGCUUUCUCCCGGUGGUUUGUAAGCUGCUCCAGGUUAGGGAAUGAUGUGUUCCAUAGACACGGUACUGUCUGAGCAAAGGAAACACCCUUCCUGAGAGAAGUGGCAGGCAGUUGUCUAAAUAUGUCAUAGAGGUCAGGUUACCGCCGUACACGUAUAAACAGAAACAGACUUAGAUGAGCAUCAAAAGGAUACCAAGAACUCUGGUAAACUGGGGACCUAGUUACGGCUGGGCAUUUACACAAGCAGGUGGUGGGCAAGUGGCAUCUACUAGUGGAAGUAUGAAUCGGCAAGUGAUGAAGCAAGUGGAGCUACCGUCCUACCUCCAAGAAUCGGUAGGGAUCGUGGUAUCCCCAGAAGCUCCAUCACCUCAGGCGAAGCGCUCUCUCUCUCUCGCUCUCGCUCUCCUCUUAUCCUCCCUCGGUUGAACAAGAGGAGCCGGAAAACCUCUUCCUCUCGCUAGUCGCCUCGCCUCGCCACUAUCUCUCUGGGUCUCGGCUGGCCACACAACGACAACGGACCGCGGGAUGGGCCGGGCAGAGCCCAACCCCACUCUCACUCACCCUGGGCCGGCCCAACCAGCGGCUCGGCUACAAAAUCACCGUCUGUCGUCUUUCAAUGGAUUCUUUGACUAUGUCUCAAAAAAAUUGGAUUCUUUGACUUGUUGGUUCGAUUUCUCUUCUCAAAGGAACCCCCAACACCGCCGUCGGAGCAGCGGCGGCAGCAAGAGGAGAGGAGGAGCGAGAUGGCGCCGCCCAGCAAGGAGCCGUGCAAGAAGGAGGCGUGCGACAUCCAGGCCUGCCUCUCCAAGAACCUCUUCGAUUCCAAGAAGUACGGCCCCGUCCUCUCUCCUUCUCUUGGCUCUUGCGGUUGCUGCAAGGGAUUCAUGCAUAAUUCUGGAUAGUAACUGGGGGGUUUGGGAAUUCGAGCUCGACGCUUGGGCAUGUCCUGGGAUUGGGAUUGGGGAGACCUAGGCAAGCAUUGGAGCUGGACCUAGGAAGAAUUGGGAUUUGGGAGCCAUCAUGACCUCAUGCCACGGUGGACUUCCUACAUAUUUUUUUAUUUGCUCUGAUAGCGUGAGCAUGUUUAGUUGGGUCUUGUUGUGGCACUCCAUGUUUAGUUUCGGGUGCUUAUUGCGUAUCAGCAUAUGACCAUUGCUAGACAGCAUUAUCAAUAUUUCCUGUUUUAUAUGCUGGUGUUUUGAUGGCAUCACCUAUUAAUUCAUCAUAAGAAAUUUUUGUUUCUUGGAGAUUUUUCAUAAGAAUACAAGCACUACUUCUCCCUUGUUAACACCCAAGCUCAAAUAAUGCUGCUCCGAGCAGCAUUGUGGCACCACCUCCUCCAGCCCAUGCGCCAAGGGUGGAUGAGGCGAAGAUGCCCAAGUUGUCAGAAGAACCCAUUACCAAUUAGGAGUGCUAAUCAUGUUUGCUUUUUAACAGGUGUUUGAAAGUUAUUCAGUCACUACAAUCUUGUUGUGAGCAAUGCGAGUACAAAUCAACACAUUGUGGUUCUUUGUCGGGCUUGCUCAAAAACAUUUCAAAGUGAUGUAAUAAGACUAUCACUCAAUAAAGGUAAGAUUUAUCUUUACAGUUACAAAAUUUAUUGAAAUUCUGCAAGUUCACAAAUUCCAUCUAUGUUUCUAUAUCAGCACUUGGAAGCUAGAAAUUCUAAAUAGAAGUCGGAAUCGUGUGGUUGAGGUUUCUAUCUGAAUAAAUUUAUCAUUAACCCGCUUACAGAAAAAGAAAGGUUUUAUGUUUAUGUUUAUGUGUACAUUAGUUACCUGUUAGAUGGUGCUGCAUUGUGAGUCUCUACUUUGGUUACAAUGACGUCCUUUUUCGAAUGUCUAUUUGGGUUACAAGGAGAUGCUUUGCUUAGAUAAUUUCUUUUUUCUAUCACUGUGUACUUUGGUAUGUGAUAAAUCUAUCAAGACCAGGCACAGGCUAAAAAUAUAAUUUAUCAUCUAUGUAUCUCCAGGUGUAAACAUUAGCUUGUCUUCUUUGGCAUCUCAUUAAAGGUCUGUAUAGAUAUCCUUGAGAAACCAAAGAUUUUAGAUAUAUUUGUGGAUGAACUAUAAGAACGCACUAAAAAGAAAUAUAACUUGAGGAAAAUAUGAUACUUUCAAGACUGAUGGAAGUGUCAGUGUAAUCAACAUAACUAAAUUGCAGCAUGAAACCAGCACAUGGUCAGAUUCGGCUAGCAGAAUCAACCUCUUAUUAGCAUUGUGGUCUAUUUUGAGACUGUAGAUAAGCACCAUAACAACUUGACCAUAGAGUGGGCUAGCCAUUAUGUUAUAUAUACAAAAUUGUGUGCUGAUUAUGCUACUGACAUACUGUUUUAUGUUUUAUUUGAAGGUUGAAUAAAAAAAAGUAAUCUAGUUGACAGAGGAUGUUUGUCUUUGCAGGUAAUUUUAGGUUUGCUUGGGAGUUAAUCAGGAUAUCAGUUUCUCUAAUCCAUCAUGGUACAGUAUAUGUAGAUACUGAAGUUUACUUUACUUAGUGGAUCCUGUUGAGCCUAUCAUAUUUGGUUUCAGUAUGGGUGCUAUGAUAUGAUGAAAGGAAGUCACAUGCUCAUCUAUUUGAUUGGCUUAAUUAUUAUUAUUUUCCCUACUUGCAGUAUGACUGGGAAAAAUAAUAAUGCGCCAUCCUCAACCUGCAGAAAGGUGCUGUGGUUGCUAGUUGUUCGGUGCUGAGUUUGUCAACACAUUUCUUUAAGAGGGAUACUGAUAUUGCCGUAUAGCUGUAUUAUCCUUUGUAUUUCUUAUUAUGCCCAUGUGCAGAUAUAAUUCAAGAAAAUAAGUGAACCCUGGCCUUGUUGUACACCAAUCUGCAUUUAUGAUAUGGGAAGUGUUUUUUGAAUUGCAUUAGUGUUCGCCCUGCAUGUUCAACGGUACAAAAAAAAUCAAGUUUGUAUGAACACGAUGCACAGAAAUAAGGUCAACUGAUACUGUAACAGUUACUUAGCUCCAUCUUUCUACAAGCUAGUGUGCAAUUAGGAUGUUGGAUAUGAUUCCAGUCAGCAGUUAAUCUGCCAGAUCAUAUGAUGUCAUUAUCCUGUUGCUUAGCAUUUGUGGCUAGUCUCAGGUUAUUUGUGAUUUGAUUAUGGUAUUACUCUCGUUGGUGAAUUCGGUACUCUGUCAUGACUACCUUAGCUUGUACUCCCUCCGUUCCAAAUUACUCGUCGCAGAAAUGAAUGUAUCUAGAACUAAAAUACAUCUAGAUACAUUCAUUUCUGCGACGAGUAAUUCGGAACGGAGGAAGUACUAGAAUAGAAUCUUAUCUUGUGUGAUGCAAUACCUACCAAGCAAGUGCAGAUUGGUAUGCAUUGCAAAUGACCUCAAGCUGACAUGUGCAUUACAUUCUGCACAACUGUUUUUCGCUGUCCACUUGGGAGUUGGGACCAACCACAACCAGUUUGUUGGUGCGUCCCCCACACAUGUCCAUUCCUGAGCUUGUUGCUUAUCUUCCAUGGGUGUUUAUCAUCCGCUUAAGCACUAGUAGUAUGAAUUACGCAAGUGAGGCUGGUUUGUAUUUUGGAGAUCCUUUGUAUUUGACAUGAAUAAAGUUUUAUCUCGUUAAAGCUGCUUUUGUUUCUUUAUGAUAAAUUAGCAAAAUCUAGCACUAGUAGGAUGGGAUGAUUUCCUUGUGGAAAGAUGAGGAAUCUCUUGAAGCCAUUUUCAUCAGUUCAAACUGACUUCUUUCUGAGUUUAGCUGCCAUGUCAAGUCACAGAUGCAAAACCAUUGUGAUAGGUGACUCGAUUAAUUCUGCCAUGAUGAUUUCCACUAAACUGUUAGUGGGUGCCUGCACUACCCAUGUUUUGCAUGAUGGUUGAUGAAUGCCAAAGAAGAAAGAGUGAAUCAUCUUUUCAAUCUUCCAAACUAACUUAGGUUCUGAAAUCUGAAAUGUUUUCCAAUCUACUCCCUCUGUUUCAAAAUGUUAAUACAAAGUUGGGUCAUCUAUUUUGAAAAGGAGGGUAUGAACAUGCAAACCAUGAUAAUAUCGAACAGAACCCAUAGCCAGAAUUGAGCAGCACAAGGCUCUGAAGAGCCGCGCAAACGAGGGAAAAGAAGAAGUGAUGUAUUUAUCGAUCGAGAAUGCGAUAUUAUAUAUACACCUGAGAUUGAUUUAUGCACGCAUCUAUAUAAUUCUCGCAUCCACACUGCUGUCAGUUUGGUGGCGUCUUCCUUGAGGUGGUGCUGGACUUGCGUGCCAAGAAGAGCUUCUUGAGCAGCUUGAGCAUCAUCAUCAAGCUCAGCCUCCUUCGCCAGACCACGCUGCUCCCGGUACCGGAGGCGACGACCACAUCCACAUGCUGGGAUGGUAUUCCGUCGCCUUCACCAGCGUGCCACGCCUCGCUCGACCACUCCAUGCUCAGUGGGCACGGCUGCGGCGCCCGGGCCAGCUCCUCGUUGAAGUCCUCCCACAGCAUGUCCAUCUUGUGCUCUUCCAUGACGGCGAACCUCUCGGAGCGGCCCCCCGGCCCCGGGUAGACGUCGUUGUUGGGGUUCCCGGCUUGCUCGGCGGCCGAGAAGCACCGCCGGUGAUGGUCGUGCGCUCCCGCGUCGGCCGGGACGACGAACCAUGGCGGCGGCGAAGUGAAGUGAGGGGAAGGGAGCUUCUUGGCGCCGCACGGCACCGGUGGAAUGGUAGGGCAUGUGAAGUCCUCCACCAUGGCUGUGUUUGUCUGUGUAGGACGAACCUAUGGACGACUCUGAGUCUAUGUCUGAAUGAUGUAUUCGUGGAAUUGCCAAUGGAGGUUGCAACUUCUUAUCUACCUCUCCAAAUGCCUAGAGGCUAGAGGGAGUAUGUCUACGGCUGUUUCUUUAUCUCUCAAGCUCAAGUGAUGGUUGGCGAAUGCGAGUAUUAUAAUUUGGUGGUUGGCUUUAUGCUAAUUGGCUUGAUUAGCUUGGCCUAUCAGGAGACGCCAAUCAGCAAGCACCAAGACAAAAGGACCUACUAAUUAAUUGUUAAUGUCUAGUUGCAACAUUCCAAGGUCAUGAUAUACAGCUAGAGCUCGACAUGACAACAAAAAUUAUUGGGCCCUAGAGAAUGUGCAGUUCAGACAUAACUGAGCCUGAAAGUAAUAAGGCCUUUUUUGGUUCAUAGGAUAGGAUUAUCAUAGAAAUAGGAAUCUUAUAGGAAAUGAGAUGACAUGUAUCUCAAAUCCUAUGAGUAGGAAUAGGAAACAAGAUGUCAUUUGGUUGACACCAAAGGAAUUUUUUCAUUGAGUUUAGGCUCUUUUUUAUUUUCCUAUGAAAUGUGGAGGAUAGGAACCAAUCCUAUGUAGGAAUAGGAAUCCAUUCCUAUGAACUAAAGGGCUCUAAAGAAAAAAAUCCUAUAAGAAUCAUAUCCUUUAAAAUUCUUAUGAAAUUCCUCUAAACCAAAGGAGGCCUAAGCUUUUUCUCUUUUUGCUGUUAAAAUAAAUCAAGUGGAGUGUUGGUUGGGAAACAGAAUCAGGCAAGCUCCAGCAUAAACUGUAGUGAUGUUAGGGGUAGCGAUGUGAGUUAGAAGAGAGAGGGAGGGAUUUGGUGGAAUUGUCGUUUGUAUUGCUUGAGCCUCAUGGGCAUAUAUAUAGGAGUACAUGAUCUACUUAGAGUACAAGGCAAGCCAGAAUAUUUCCUAGUCUAACCUAUGUUUCCUAAUACAAUCACGUUACUCAACACCCCCGCAGACAUAACGGUAGCGACGCAGACGGUGAGACUGGAGAAGAAUCCGAAGGAAAGCCGACGGACACCCCCCACAGUCGUAACGGUCGAUGCAUCGCGGAGUCGUGGCUGGAGUGGAAACCGACGAGGUUGCUCAAGCAGGCGGUAGCCCUUUGUGUCGUUUGUCGAUGUAGCCAAGAGCGUGGGUGGUGGAGCCGUGGUUGAGGUAGCCGUGCGAAGAAUGCCGUGGUCGAUGUCGAGUCGGGGAGGCCGGUGUCGAGGAAGUCGUCGUGGAGCCGUAGGCGCAAGGGGGCGCCGAGUUAGCAUGGGCGCAGUGGUGUCGAAGUAGUGGUGCACCGGAAAGAAGAUGUGGCUGACGACGCGUCGCGGCGGGUUUGCCAAGCCCGGGGACAUAUCGUGGACGAAGGCACGUACCGGUGUUGCCAGCACCGGGCAUGCUAGACGGACGAAGACGAAGUUGACGAAGCGCCGACCAGGCUUGCCAGGCCCGGGGACACGUCGUGGAUGAAGGCAUGCAUCGGUGUUGCCAGCACCGGGCAUGCGUAGACGAGGGACCUGCACGAGCUGUCCGCCAUGUCGGAGAAGUCGGAGGGACCAGCAGAGAAGAACUCAAUGACGAUUGCGGCGUCCAUCGGCGCGGUGCCGAUGUCACCAACGGUGGUCGGAGUAGACGAAGUGGUCAGGGUAGAUGACGGCGACGCUGGUGACGGGCUAGUGCUGGACGAAGACGAACGGGGUGGACGGGCGGCGGCGGCCAAAGAAGAGCGGCGGCGGCUAGGUUAGAAGUGCGGCAGCAGUGCUCAAAGUAGGCGAAGAACUCUGACAGCGUGACGAAGACCGGCGCGGACGGUGGCGUUCCCGCGCCAAGGAAGACGGUGCGGCACAUACCACGGGAGGUCGACGCGAUGUGACGACGGAGCUGACCGCGGGCCGCGGCGCUACGGCCCGAAGGGGCGACGCAGCGGCGGCAGGCGGGUCGGGGCGACGCAGCGGCGGCAGGCGGGUCGGGGCGACGCAACGGCGGUGCACGAGUCGGUGCAGCCGCGGGGACGGUCUCGGGGCGGUGGCGGGGACCGCGUAUCGCGGAAAUACGGCCCGAAGGGGUGACGCAUCGGCGAUGCACGAGUCAAUGCAGCCGCGAGGAGAACCACGGGGUGGCGGCGCUGUAGCCCAACUGGGCGACGCAGUGGCAGCCCGAUGCUCGAUCGGUGGAGAGGCGCGCUGAACUCGGGGACGAUCUUCACGGGACCUGCGGAGGCGCGCAUAGCCGACGGGCCAGGUCGGUCGCAUGACGUAGAUGAGGCGAAUCGCGGCGGCGAGCAGGUGAUCAAGCCGAUCGCGCGCGAGGUCGGGGACGCCGCUCAGUGGAGGCGUGGUGGCGGCGGAGUCCAUGAUGAAGCCGGCGACGACGGACGCCGUGGGACAUCGCGGACAAGCUUGUCAGCACCAGCACCCAAGCUGCCAAAGCAGCGCCGGCGCCUGGGCAGUGAGGCCCGAGCGACCAACGGAGCAGCGACAUCCGAGUUGAGGCAGCCGACGAGCCUGACGUAGCCGUCCCGACGCAGCCGAGAACGAGGCCGGCGAGGUAGACCGCCGGGCCGCUGUGCAGACGCGGCGAAGGCGGGUGAUGUGGAUCGGUGGGCGGGUCGGCGCGCGAGCGACGACUAUGAUUGGUCGUCGCAUAGUGCGAGGCCGCCGGGUCGGGGCGAUGCAAGUGUCCCGGUCGAAGCAGGGCGGUGACGGCCGGCGCAGGGCAACGGGCGGACUGACGCGCGGACGACGGCUGGCCCGGACGGGCCCCCUCGGCGCGCGUGACCGUCGGGUCGAAGGAGAGGCCGGCUGGUCGCGCCGGGGUCGGAGUAGAGACGCACGGAGUCGAAGGCGGCGGCGGGCGAUGCAAACCAAUCAAAAUUAGAUCGAAAAAUCAAAAAGAAAAAUGCCAAUCAAAACGACCGGCGAGAGAGCGAAAAAAAACCCAAAGCAAGGGCUCGAAAAAAAACUCUGUAGAGUAGCCGGCCAGCACGGCCGGUGGACGAACGCUAGGUACGGGCGGCGCGGCCUCCGACGACGGUCAUGGAGACCGACCGCCCCGGGGGCGGCGCUUGGAUGCGGAAGCGACGGCGGCUAGGGUUUAGAAUCGACUUGCGAUAGAUACCAAGUUAGAAGAGAGAGGGGGGAUUUGGUGAUGGUAUUGUCGUUGUAUUGCUUGAGCCUCAUGGGCAUAUAUAUAGAAGUACAUGAUCUACUUAAAAUACAAGGUAAGCCAUAAUAUUUCCUAGUCUAACAUAUGUUUUCUAAUACAAUUAUGUUACUCAACAAUGUGUUUUUAAAUGGUUUUCGAGGGAAAGGGAGAGCAUAGAAGAAUUUAGAAGGAGACAUUCAGGACAAUGUUUGGCAGCCGGUGGUGUGGCUUUACUGCUGAAGGCCAGAGCAUCGGACAGAGGUAAAAUAGUGCUUGAAAUCCAUCUCUCUUUCUCUCUUGGUGUCUACUUUUUCUGCAAUGCCUUGCCAGCGCCAGAGGUGGCCGUGAAUUUGAAGGUGGGGGUGCCACCGCCACUGCCACAUAUGCCACCUACCAGAACCUUAUGAACAUGUUUUAAACAAAACUUAGCAAAAUGGCAAUUUUAAUGUUUUAUAAAGAAAUCUGUGAAGAAAUUUAGAAACGUAUAAGAUCUCCUUUGGUUUAUAGAAAAAGAAUACAAAAAUCAUAUGAAAUGAGAUAACAUGUAUCUCUGUUUCUAUAGAAAAAAAAUGUCAUUUGAUGCACAAACUUUUCCAUUUGAGUCUAGACUAAUACUUUUUCUUCUUUGAAAUUUGAAGGAUUAGUUCCUAUUCUACAUAGAAAAAUGUUGAAGAUAUGACUAUCAGAUAUGACCAGCCCAGGAGGGGCCGGGUCAUCCAUUAUGACGGUUCAUCUAAAUGAAGCCUAAGAAUAUACUAAGGAUGGCGGUUCAUAGAUAGGCUUGUUAAAAGGCCCAAGUCUGGGUGCGGCUUAAGGCCCGUAAGUGUAAACCGCCAUGUAUAUGUAAACUUGUAUUGUAAGACAUGUAAGAUAAGUCACCAAGCCGGACACGUUUGUAUGAGCUGGCCGGGACUUUGUAGGCUGCAGGGCGUCAAGCCAUGUAUAUAAGGGGACGACCCGGCCAUGGCUUAGGGGAAGAGACAACAAAUCGAAAGCCAGGCAAAGCGUGUUUGCUCCCUGGUAAUCGAAACCCUAGCAAUACCACCUCAAACUGGAGUAGGCCUUUACCUUCACCGCAAGGGGCCGAACCAGUAUAAACUCUCCGUGUCCUUUGUCCCGUUUAACCCCUUUAAACUAACCUCGUCGCAAUGGCUCCACAACUAAGUCCUUCUAUGAGAACAUCUGCCGCGACACUUCCAUGACAGUUGACGCUCACGUGGGGCCCGCGCACGGUGGUUUUGAGUUCUUAAGGGCAGCUUCGAAGGUCUCAAGAGAUAUGUUGUGGGCCGGAUGACCAGAGUCACCGCGGCAAGCUCUACAUCAAACGAUGCAGGCUGGUCCCUCGAGGCUGACUCAAUUGAGUACGGGUACCGGGUCCCCUUCGGCGGAAUCCACGUCUUCAUCGGCAAGAUCGACGAGCCGGGCCCUGAGCCGGACAUCUGCACCGACAUCAUCGAGACGGCUCAGCGUGCACGACCCGCCCGGGCUCAACCCGUCGUAAGGCAUGUCUUCGUUGGGUUUACCCAUGGGGCUGAGUUGGAAGGCUCUGUCUCUGGCGGUGAGACGACCAUCUUCUCUGAUGAUGAGUCGUCCACAGGCGAGACCAACUCAAUGUAUCAGCUACAUGAUGGGCGGCUUGGGGGCUGUUCCGAUGGCAACAGUAUUCCGGAUACCCGUGAGCUGCCGAACAGGGUGGCGAUCUUCAUGGUUGGCACCCAGCCGGUUCUUGGUUCGACAGCCGCCACAGCUAUAACUUCUAGUGCAGCAGCGAUAACGGCAGCCGGGGCUGGCGGUUCAGCGCGCCCGCCGGCUCAAGUCUUAAUAGAUCUGUUGGAUGCUCUGGCGACUUUGAUGGAGGUUUAGGUAACCCCAGAUAACCAGGAGCAGCACAUGGCAGAGAUAGCUAAGUUGCAUGAUGAGAUAGCGCAAGCUAAGGCGGAAUUAGCAGCAGAAAACGCCAAGAUGGCUGCAGAGCGGGCCGUUUUAAGUGCCCAAGCACAGCGGAUUCAAGCAGAUUCAUACCGGCUCACGGUGGAUCAGACCGCGUCGAACAAAGUUUUGAGGAGAAAAUACCGGAGUCGUCUGCCCUCAAUUUAUGAGUCAAGGGACCUCUUCAACACCUCUAGAGCCGGGGCCAGUAACCCGUCGGUGGUAAAUCGGAUGACUGAAGCACCAGGCGGUGGGGUGCCGGGUCAGCCGUGUGUGACAAGUUCUCCGUAUAUGAACAACACCCCGUCUCAACACAUGGUAACACCGCCGGGUCAUUAUUUCACCCCUUUGGACAACAUGAUUGCUGCGGCGACGCGAUUGGCGGCUUUACCAGUUGAGGGUGAGACUUCGGUGGCGGUUGAAACCCGAAGGGCUAGGGAGAUCCUUCAAACAACUUUAGUCCAGCAACAGGCUUACUCUUAUAGGCGUGACCGGAUCCAUUCAACCCCUCGUCCAAGCCGGAGCUACAGUAGGCACAUUGACUCACCUACAGUCUCGAGUACGAAGCAGCACCGUAACCGACCUCAUGGGCAUGACCCGGCACGCGAUGGUGCCAAUGCAUAGGAUUUGGUGGACCAGGGCAGAGCACGUCGGGAGGCCGAGCUGGCGGCUCAUCAGCACACGUCGGUUUACCCGACAACUUCAAUUGAGGCCGGUGUAACUUCCAAGGCUUUCAGUGUGCCGUUUCUAACGGCGGUUCUGCGAAACGAGAGUCUACCCAAGGACUUCAAAGGCCCUCGUAAGGUGCCUAAUUACACAGCCGAUCAACACCCUGAGGUGUGGGUGAAGAGUUAUGAGAUGGCUAUGGAGAUACUGGAUGUUAGUGAGGCUGUGUACGCUAAGUACUUCACCAUGAUGCUGGAGGGAACGGCCCGUACCUGGUUGAAGGGGCUGCCGGCUAACUCCAUCGGGUCAUGGGCGGAGCUGAAGGCCCGGUUUAUCCAGAAUUUCAAAGACACGUGUAAGCAGCCUAUGUCGGUCGUGGAUUUGGUUUCUUGUGUUCAGGCCGAGGGCGAGUCAACAACCAGCUGGGUGCGCCGGGUCUCGACCAUCAUGCAUUCUUCAGAUAAUAUCAACAUCGGUUCAGCGGUUCUGAUGUUGGAGAAAAAUUGCCGGUUCAUUUCACUCAAGCGGAAGCUUGGCCGGCUCAAGCGUCAUUACAAUGACAUGGGGGAGCUAAUGGCGGCUCUUGCAAAGUAUGCCGACUCUGAUAGUGAUGUCUACUACACAACCUUCUUCUUGUAGACGUUGUUGGGCCUCCAAGUGCAGAGGUUUGUAGGACAGUAGCAAAUUUCCCUCAAGUGGAUGACCUAAGGUUUAUCAAUUCGUAGGAGGCGCAGGAUGAAGAUGGUCUCUCUCAAGCAACCCUGCAACCAAAUAACAAAGAGUCUCUUGUGUCCCCAACACACCCAAUACAAUGGUAAAUUGUAUAGGUGCACUAGUUCGGCGAAGAGAUGGUGAAACAAGUGGUAUAUGGAUAGUAGAUAAAGUAUUUGUAAUCUGAAAUAAUAAAAAUAUCAAGGUAGCAAGUGAUAAAAGUGAGCGUAAACGGUAUUGCAAUGUGUGGAAAUAAGGCCUAGGGUUCAUACUUUCACUAGUGUAAGUUCCCUCAACAAUACUAACAUAAUUGGAUCACACAACUAUCCCUCAACAUGCAACAAAGAGUCACUCCAAAGUCACUAAUAGCGGAGAACAAACGAAGAGAUUAUGGUAGGGUACGAAACCACCUCAAAGUUAUUCUUUCCAAUCAAUCCAUUGGGAUAUUCCUAUAAGUGUCACAAACAGCCCUAGAGUUCAUACUAGAAUAACACCUUAAGAUACAAAUCAACCAAAACCCUAAUGUCACCUAGAUACUCUAAUGUCACCUCAAGUAUCCGUGGGUAUGAUUAUACGAUAUGCAUCACACAAUCUCAAUUCAUCUACUCAACCAACACAAAGGACCUCAAAGAGUGCCCCAAAGUUCUACCGGAGAAUCACAACGAAAACGUGUACCAACCCCUAUGCAUAGGUUCCCAAUGUCACGAAACCCGCAAGUUGAUCACCAAAACAUACAUCAAGUGGAUCAAUAGAAUAACCCAUUGUCACCACAGUUAUCCCACGCAAGACAUACAUCAAGUGUUCUCAAAUCUUUAAAGACACAAUCCGAUAAGAUUACUUCAAAGGGGAAACUCAAUUCAUUACAAGAGAGAAGAGGGGAAGGAGAAACAUAGGAUCCAACUAUAAUAGCAAAGCUCGCGAUACAUCAAGAUCGUAUCAUAUCAAGAACACGAGAGAGAGAGAGAGAGAUCAAACACAUAGCUACUGGUACAUACCCUCAGCCCCGAAGGAGAACUACUCCCUCCUCGUCAUGGAGAGCACCGGGAUGAUGAAGAUGGCCACCGGGGAAGGAUUGCCCCCUCCGGUAGGGUGCCGGGACGGGUCUAGAUUGGUUUUUGGUGGCUAGGGAGGCUUCUGGCGGCGGAACUCCGGAUCUAUUCUCUGUUCUGGAAGAUUUAGGGUAUAUGGAGUUAUAUAGGCAGAAGAAGCACAUCAGGGGAGCCACAGGGGCCCCACGAGGCAGGGGGAGCGCCCUAGGGGGUGGGCGCGCCCCCACCCUCGUGGGCAGCUCCCGUAUCUUCUGACGUGGGGUCCAAGUCCAUCAGGUGUGUUUCCUUCCAAAAAUAACUUCUCCAGUUGAUUUCGUUCCGUUUCGACUCCGUCUGAUAUUCCUUUUCUUCAAAACACUGAAAUAGGCAUAAAACAACAAAUCUGGGUUGGGCCUCCGGUUAAUAGGUUAGUCCCAAUGAUAAUAUAGAAGUGUAUAAUAAAGCCCAAUAUUGCCCGAAACAAUAGAUAAUAUAGCAUGGAGCAAUCAAAAAUUAUAGAUACGUUGGAGACGUAUCAAGCAUCCGCAAGCUUAAUUCCUGCUCGUCCUCGAGUAGGUAAAUGAUAAAAAAAGAUAAUUUUUGAUGUGGAAUGCUAGUUGGCAUAAUUUCCAUGUAAUUCUUCUUACUUGUGAUAUGAAUAUUCAGAUCCGAAAGAUUCAAGACAAAAGUUCAUAUUGACAUAAAAAUAAUAAUACUUCAAGCAUACUAACUAAGCAAUUAUGUCUUCUCUAAAUAACAUGGCCAAAGAAAAUUCAUUCCUACAAAAUCAUAUAGUUUAGUCAUGCUCCAUUUUCGUCACACAAGAAUGCUCUCAUCAUGCACAACCCCGAUGACAAGCCAAGCAAUUGUUUCAUACUUUAGUAAUCUCAAACUCAUAAACUUUCACGCAAUACAUGAGCGCGAGCCAUGGAUAUAGCACUAUGGAUGGAAUAGAAUAUAAUGAGGGGGGUUAUGUGGAGAAGGACAAAAAGGAGAAAGUCUCACAUCAACGAGGCUAAUCAAUGGGCUAUGGAGAUGCCCAUCGAUUGAUGUUAAUGCAAGGAGUAGGGAUUGCCAUGCAACGGAUGCACUAGAGCUAUAAAUGUAUGAAAGCUCAACAAAAGAAACUAGUGGGUGUGCAUCCAACCUGCUUGCUCAUGAAGACCUAGGGCACUUGAGGAGGCCCAUUGUUGGAAUAUACAAGCCAAGUUCUAUAAUGAAAAUUCCCACUAGUAUAUGAAAGUGAUAACUCAAGAGACUCUCUAUAUGAAGAACAUGGUGCUACUUUGAAGCACAAGUGUGGAAAAAGGAUAGUAGCAUUGUCCCUUUUAUUGUUGUUUUGCCUUUUUUAUUUGGCCUUUUUUUGGCCUUCCCUUUUUUUAUUUGGGACAAUGCUCUAUUAAUGAUGAUCAUCACACUUCUAUUUAUUUAUAACCCAAUGAUUACAACUCGAUACUAGAACAAAGUAUGACUCUAUAUGAAUGCCUCCGGCGGUGUACCGGGAUUGUGAUGAAUCAAGAGUGACACGUAUGGAAAAUUAUGAACGGUGGCUUUGCCACAAAUACGAUGUCAACUACAUGAUCAUGCAAAGCAAUAUGACAAUGAUGAUGCGUGUCAUAAUAAACGGAACGGUGGAAAGUUGUAUGGCAAUAUAUCUCGGAAUGGCUAUGGAAAUGCUAUAAUAGGUAGGUAUGGUGGCUGUUUUGAGGAAGAUAUAAGGAGGUUUAUGUGUGACAGAGCGUAUCAUAUCACGGGGUUUGGAUGCACCGGCGAAGUUUGCACCAACUCUCAAUGUGAGAAAGGGCAAUGCACGGUACCGAAGAGGCUAGCAAGGAUGGAAGGGUGAGAGUGCGUAUAAUCCAUGGACUCACAUUAGUCAUAAAGAACUCACAUACUUAUUGCAAAAAUCUACAAGUCAUCAAAAACCUCGGCACUAUGCACAUGCUCCUAGGGGGAUAGAUUGGUAGGAAAAGACCAUCGCUCAUCUUCGACCGCCACUCAUAAGGAGGACAAUCAAAUAACACCUCAUGUUUCAAAUUUGUUACAUAACGUUUACCAUACGUGCAUGCUACGCGACUUGCAAACUUCAACACAAGCAUUUCUCAAUUUCACAACUACUCAACUAGCACGACUUUGAUAUUAUUACCUCCAUAUCUCAAAACAAUCAUCAAGCAUCAAACUUCUCUUAGUAUUCAGUACACUCAUAAGAGAAUUUUAUUAUUCUUGAAUACCUAGCAUAUUAGGAUUUUAAGAAAAUUACCAUGCUAUUUAAGACUCUCAAAAUAAUAUAAGUGAAGCAUGAGAGUUCAUCUAUUUCUUCAAAAUAAAACUACCACCAUGCUCUAAAAGGUAUAAGUGAAGCACUAGAGCAAAUGACAAACUACUCCGAAAGAUAUAAGUGAAGAUCAAUGAGUAGUCGAAUAAUUAUGCAACUAUGUGAAGACUCUUUAACAUUUAAUAAUUUCAGAUCUUGGUAUUUUAUUCAAACAGCAAGCAAAGAAAAUGAAAAUGACAUCUAAGAAUAGCAAACAUCAUGUGAAGAAGCAAAAACUUAGGAUCAACCGAUACUAACUGAUAGUUGUUGAAAAAUAAAUGUGGGAUGCCAACCGGGGCAUCCCCAAGCUUAGACGCUUGAGACUUCUUGAAAUAUUAUCUUGGGAUGCCUUGGGCAUCCCCAAGCUUGAGCUUUUGUGUCUCCUUAAUUCCUCUCAUAUCACGGUCUCCCUAAAUCUCAAAAGCUUCAUACACACAAAACUCAACAAGGACUCGUGAGAUAAGUUAGUAUAAACCAUUGCAAAAACCUUAUAUCAUACUCUACUGUAACAAAUCACUAAAAUUAUUAUUCAAAUUUCAUACUAAAUGCCUCUGCAUAUUUAAUAGUCCUAUCCUCAAAUAGAAUCAUUAAAGAAGCAAACAUAUGCAAACAAUGCAAACAUAACAGCAAUCUGCCUAAACAGGAUAGUCUGUAAAGAAUGCUGCAACAUCCAUACUCCCUAGCUCCAAAAAUUAUUAAAGAAAAUUCACACUGUAUUAAAUUUAUCAGAGCUUAAUAUGCAAAAGGUUUCAACAUUUUAUCACAUUCUAACUUUUCUAGGGAAUUAUUGCAACAGCGGUAAACUUUCUGUUUUCAAACAGCAACAUGUAUACUUGUAACAUAGGCAUAGUAAAGGCUAUCAAUGCCACUUUUAUUGAAAUAAAAGAUGCAAAACAUUGUUAUAAAUAACAACAAGCAAAUCCUAACAAAAUAAAUUGACGCUCCAAGCAAAACACAUAUCAUGUGGUGAAUAAAAAUAUAGCUCCAAGUAAAGUUACCGAUGAACGAAGACUGGUAGAGGCAAAGGUGUCCCGUCUUUCGAUGAGAUGAUGGAUAUCGCUUUGGUGGAAGUCGACUUUGACGAUCCGACUAUGAACGUGCGAGGACAUCGCGCCUUAGCAAUCGCUAAACCAACUCCGAGAGGUUAUUGACCACGCCGGAGCACGAUCAACCUAACCACGAGGGUCUGUUUCCUGCGAGCAAACGAAGAACAAGCAAGAAACUGAGAUUGCAAUCUGGAUAUUGCGAAUAUAAGAUGAAAGCUUUAUUGAUCAAGGUGGGGUUCUGUGACGCCUUUGUCUGGUCAUUGAACACAAACGAAGUACGCGAAGUUGCAGCUAUGGCGAACUUUUAAUCUAAACAAAACCCAAAGUCUAAACGAUGCCCUAAGGGCUGUAUAUAUGGAGGAAGAGGGGGGAAUUUCGUGGCCCUUGGUGGAGGGAUCCGAAAUCAACCCUAUCUCUUGUUUCCCCACACAUACGGACUCUAAAAAUAGCCUAUACUUAUGUAUUUCGAAAUUACAUGGGCCUGGCCCAAUAAUAAGGUGACGCAGCACCUAAAAUAGCCUCGGGACGAAAUUUAUGAAGUGGCAUCUUGUAUAUUUCGUCCAAGGCUUCAUGCACCCAUUAUGGUGGCUUCAAAGUCCUGAAAUCAUCACUUGUAACUCCGUUCUUGUUCCCCUUGCGCAUGCCAUCAUCUCCAUGCUUGUUCUUGCUCCAAUGUUCAUCCUUCUCCAAGCUAGGCCCUUCAUUUGUAAGCAAAACAAAUGUAUCCAAUUUAGGCAGCAUCAUAUUCUCAUGAACAUUAGAAUCAUUACCAAGAAACGAAAGUACCUGGUAAUUUAGUUGGCGUCCACGAGCUCUAGUAAUUGGUCCAGUAUGUAUAGCAGCAGGGGCUGUGGGUGUAACAAUUGUAUUGAUGUCCUCAUCAAAGCUAAUGCCACAUGCUGAUGGUCCCUUUAAGGUGUUAGAGAAAAUAAAUGAUAAUGCAUAUAAACUUGAGCUGCCUGCAGAUUUUGGGGUUAGUCCCACUUUUAACAUUGCAGAUUUGAAGCCUUAUUUGGGUGAGGAAGAUGAACUUCCGUCGAGGACGACUUCAUUUCAAGAAGGGGAGGAUAAUGAGGACAUCAAUACAAUUGUUACACCCACAGCCCCUGCUGCUAUACAUACUGGACCAAUUACUAGAGCUCGUGCACGCCAACUAAAUUACCAGGUACUUUCGUUUCUUGGUAAUGAUUCUAAUGUUCAUGAGAAUAUGAUGCUGCCUAAAUUGGAUACAUUUGUUUUGCUUACAAAUGAAGGGCCUAGCUUGGAGAAGGAUGAACAUUGGAGCAAGAACAAGCAUGGAGAUGAUGGCAUGCGCAAGGGGAACAAGAACGGAGUUACAAGUGAUGAUUUCAGGACUUUGAAGCCACCAUAAUGGGUGCAUGAAGCCUUGGACGAAAUAUACAAGAUGCCACUUCAUAAAUUUCGUCCCGAGGCUAUUUUAUGUGCUGCGUCACCUUAUUAUUGGGCCAGGCCCAUGUAAUUUCGAAAUACAUAAGUAUAGGCUAUUUUUAGAGUCCGUAUGUGUGGGGAAACAAGAGAUAGGGUUGAUUUCGGACCCCUCCACCAAGGGCCACGAAAUUCCCCCCUCUUCCUCCAUAUAUACAGCCCUUAGGGCAUCGUUUAGACUUUGGGUUUUGUUUAGAUUAAAGUUCGCCAUAGCUGCAACUUCGCGUACUUCGUUUGUGUUCAACGACCAGACAAAGGCGUCACAGAACCCCACCUUGAUCAAUAAAGCUUUCAUCUUAUAUUCGCAAUAUCCAGAUUGCAAUCUUAGUUUCUUGCUUGUUCUUCGUUUGCUUGCAGGAAACAGACCCUCGUGGUCAGGUUGAUCGUGCUCCGGCGUGGUCAAUAACCUCUCGGAGUUGGUUUAGCGAUUGCUAAGGCGCGACGUCCUCGCACGUUCGUAGUCGGAUCGUCAAAGUCGACUUCCACCAAAGCGAAAUCCACCAUCUCAUCAAAAGACGGGACACCUUUGCCUCUAUCACUGUAGGUAUGAAGAACAGACUCGAUCUAAACUACGAAAAACUGUAAAAUCUCACCGAGCAACCUGGAAAUCUGAUACCACUUGAUAGAGGCAAAGGUGUCCCGUCUUUCGAUGAGAUGAUGGAUAUCGCUUUGGUGGAAGUCGACUUUGACGAUCCGACUACGAACGUGUGAGGACGUCGCACCUUAGCAAUCGCUAAACCAACUCCGAGAGGUUAUUGACCACGCCGGAGCACGAUCAACCUGACCACGAGGGUCUGUUUCCUGCGAGCAAACGAAGAACAAGCAAGAAACUAAGAGUGCAAUCUGGAUAUUGCGAAUAUAAGAUGAAAGCUUUAUUGAUCAAGGUGGGGUUCUGUGACGCCUUUGUCUGGUCGUUGAACACAAACGAAGUACGCGAAGUUGCAGCUAUGUCGAACUUUUAAUCUAAACAAAACCCAAAGUCUAAACGAUGCCCUAAGGGCUGUAUAUAUGGAGGAAGAGGGGGGAAUUUCGUGGCCCUUGGUGGAGGGGUCCGAAAUCAACCCUAUCUCUUGUUUCCCCACACAUACGGACUCUAAAAAUAGCCUAUACUUAUGUAUUUCGAAAUUACAUGGGCCUGGCCCAAAAAUAAGGUGACGCAGCACCUAAAAUAGCCUCGGGACGAAAUUUAUGAAGUGGCAUCUUGUAUAUUUCGUCCAAGGCUUCAUGCACCCAUUAUGGUGGCUUCAAAGUCCUGAAAUCAUCACUUGUAACUCCGUUCUUGUUCCCCUUGCGCAUGCCAUCAUCUCCAUGCUUGUUCUUGCUCCAAUGUUCAUCCUUCUCCAAGCUAGGCCCUUCAUUUGUAAGCAAAACAAAUGUAUCCAAUUUAGGCAGCAUCAUAUUCUCAUGAACAUUAGAAUCAUUACAAGAAACGAAAGUACCUGGUAAUUUAGUUGGCGUGCACGAGCUCUAGUAAUUGGUCCAGUAUGUAUAGCAGCAGGGGCUGUGGGUGUAACAAUUGUAUUGAUGUCCUCAUCAGAAACUGAGAUUGCAAUCUGGAUAUUGCGAAUAUAAGAUGAAAGCUUUAUUGAUCAAGGUGGGGUUCUGUGACGCCUUUGUCUGGUCGUUGAACACAAACGAAGUACGCGAAGUUGCAGCUAUGGCGAACUUUUAAUCUAAACAAAACCCAAAGUCUAAACGAUGCCCUAAGGGCUGUAUAUAUGGAGGAAGAGGGGGGAAUUUCGUGGCCCUUGGUGGAGGGGUCCGAAAUCAACCCUAUCUCUUGUUUCCCCACACAUACGGACUCUAAAAAUAGCCUAUACUUAUGUAUUUCGAAAUUACAUGGGCCUGGCCCAAUAAUAAGGUGACGCAGCACAUAAAAUAGCCUCGGGACGAAAUUUAUGAAGUGGCAUCUUGUAUAUUUCGUCCAAGGCUUCAUGCACCCAUUAUGGUGGCUUCAAAGUCCUGAAAUCAUCACUUGUAACUCCGUUCUUGUUCCCCUUGCGCAUGCCAUCAUCUCCAUGCUUGUUCUUGCUCCAAUGUUCAUCCUUCUCCAAGCUAGGCCCUUCAUUUGUAAGCAAAACAAAUGUAUCCAAUUUAGGCAGCAUCAUAUUCUCAUGAACAUUAGAAUCAUUACCAAGAAACGAAAGUACCUGGUAAUUUAGUUGGCGUGCACGAGCUCUAGUAAUUGGUCCAGUAUGUAUAGCAGUAGGGGCUGUGGGUGUAACAAUUGUAUUGAUGUCCUCAUCAUCCUCCCCUUCUUGAAAUGAAGUCGUCCUCGACGGAAGUUCAUCUUGCUCACCCAAAUAAGGCUUCAAAUCUGCAAUGUUAAAAGUGGGACUAACCCCAAAAUCUGCAGGCAGCUCAAGUUUAUAUGCAUUAUCAUUUAUUUUCUCUAACACCUUAAAGGGACCAUCAGCACGUGGCAUUAGCUUUGAUUUGCGCAAAUCAGGAAAUCUAUCCUUACGGAAAUGUAACCAAACAAGAUCUCCAGGUGCAAACACAACAUGUUUUCUACCCUUAUCUCCAGCAAGUUUAUAUUUAGCAUUCAUACGCUCAAUGUUUUCCUUAGUUAACUCAUGCAUUUUUAAAAUCAAUUCAGCACGUUGUUUAGCAUCAAAAUUAACCUUCUCCGAAGAUGGAAGAGGCAACAAAUCAAUAGGUGCACGAGGUAGGAAACCAUACACAACUUCAAAAGGGCACAUCUUAGUAGUAGAAUGCAAUGAACGAUUAUAAGCAAAUUCAAUAUGAGGCAAGCAUUCCUCCCACAUUUUCUUAUUAUUCUUCAAAACAGCCCUAAGCAUAGUAGACAACGUUCUAUUGACUACUUCAGUUUGUCCAUCAGUUUGGGGGUGACAAGUAGUACUAAAAAGCAGUUUAGUCCCCAACUUAGCCCAUAAACAUCUCCAAAAGUGGCUAAGAAAUUUAGUAUCACGAUCUGAAAUAAUAGUAUUUGGCACACCAUGCAAGCGAAUAAUUUCACGAAAGAACAAAUCAGCAACAUUAACAGCAUCAUCGCUUUUAUGACAUGGUAUAAAGUGUGCCAUUUUCGAGAAUCUAUCCACGACAACAAAUAUGCUAUCCCGCCCCUUCUUUGUUCGAGGUAAACCUAAAACAAAGUCCAUAGAUAUAUCCUCCCAAGGAACACUAGGUACAGGCAAAGGCAUAUAUAAACCAUGAGGAUUGAGUCGUGACUUAGCUUUUUGACAUGUAGUGCAUCGAGCAAUAAAACGCUCAACAUCCCGUCUCAUCUUUGGCCAAAAGAAAUGUGUAGCAAGUACGUCCUCCGUCUUCUUCACGCCAAAGUGUCCCAUUAAUCCUCCUCCAUGCGCCUCCUGCAACAACAAAAGACGAACGGAGCUAGCUGGAAUGCAUAGCUUGUUAGCACGAAACACAAAUCCAUCGUUAACGACAAACUUGUUCCACAUUCUUCCUUCUUUGCAAUUCUGCAUUACAUCUUUAAAAUCAGCAUCAUGCACAUAUUGAUCUUUGAUGGUCUCCAAACCAAAUAUUUUGAAGUCAAGUUGUGAAAGCAUAGUAUAGCGACGAGACAAUGCAUCAGCAAUAACAUUUUCUUUUCCCUUCUUGUGUUUAAUGACAUAAGGGAAAGUCUCAAUGAAUUCAACCCAUUUAGCAUGAUCAGAAUGUAUAACAAAUUCUUUGGGCCAUAAAUAAUGUUGCCAUGUUUCUAAAGUCCGAACAAGAGCAUAUAAUUCUUUAUCAUAAGUAGAAUAAUUCAGACUAGGCCCACUCAAUUUUUCAGAAAAGUAUGCAACAGGUUUGCCAUCUUGUAAUAACACACCUCCUAAUCCAAUUCCACUAGCAUCACAUUCAAGUUCAAAAGUCUUAUUAAAAUCAGGAAGUUGGAGUAAAGGAGCAUGUGUCAACUUAUCUUUCAAUACCGUGAAGGCUUCUUCCUGUGCGGUACCCCAAAAAAAAGGCACAUCCUUCUCUGUAAGCUCGUUGAGAGGUGCAGCAAUGGUGCUGAAAUCUCUCACAAAACGCCUAUAGAAUCCAGCGAGGCCAAGAAAACUCCUCACUUGUGUGACCGUUUUGGGCUGCGGCCAACUCUCAAUAGCUUCAAUCUUGGCUUUGUCAACUUCAAUUCCCUAUGGAGUAACAACAUAGCCAAGAAAAGAUACUCGGUCGGUGCAAAAGGUGCACUUCCCAAGGUUACCAAACAAACGUGCAUCACGUAGAGCAAUAAAAACAGCAUGUAAAUGUUCCAAAUGUUCUUCCAAAGAUCUGCUAUAAAUCAGUAUAUCAUCAAAAUAGACUACCACAAAUCGUCCAAUGAAAGCACGUAAAACUUCGUUCAUUAGUCUCAUGAAAGUACUAGGCGCAUUAGUUAACCCAAAAGGCAUGACUAACCACUCAUAUAAUCCAAACUUAGUUUUAAAUGCUGUUUUCCAUUCAUCUCCCAAUUUCAUACGAAUUUGAUGGUAUCCACUACGCAAAUCAACUUUGGAGAAUAUUGUAGAGCCACUCAAUUCAUCAAGCAUAUCAUCUAGCCUAGGAAUAGGAUGACGAUAACGAAUAGUAAUAUUAUUAAUGCCUCUACAAUCAACACACAUACGUGAUGUACCAUCCUUUUUCGGCACUAGAAUAAUAGGAACAGCACAAGGACUAAGGGAUUCGCGUAUAUAACCUUUGUCGAGAAGCUCUUGUACUUGACGCAUAAUCUCCUUCGUCUCCUCUGGAUUGGUACGGUAUGGUGCAUGGUUUGGCAGUGAAGCACCGGGAAUUAAGUCAAUUUGAUGCUCAAUCCCUCGAAUAGGCGGUAAUCCCGGUGGCACGUCUUGUGGAAAGAUGUCAGCGAACUCCUGCAAAAUGUUAGUGACAGCAGGAGGCAAAGAGGAAGGCACGUCCUCGAAUGAAAAUAAUGCCUCUUUGCACACAAAAGCAUAGCAAACAAAUUUGCUGAAAUCUAGCUCAUCAAUAUCAGAUUUGGUGGCAAAUAAACAUGCACUUUUCAAUUUAAUUUCAGAAGCAACACUAGAUGGUUUAUUAUUAGGCUUCAUUUGUUGCUCAAAUUCUUUUGCCACAAUCUGAUUUUCACUCUUAUUCGUCUCCUGUUUUGCUUUAUUAGCUCUAUUAAUAUCAUCUUUCAAAAUGGAAUCAGGAGUCAUAGGAAGCAAAGUAAUAUUUUUAUCCUUAUGAACAAGAGUAUAGUGAUUGUUUCUACCAUGGUGUACAGAAUUUUUAUCAAAUUGCCAUGGUCUACCAAGUAAUAAGGAACAUGCUUGCAUAGGUACCACAUCACAAUCAACAUAAUCAGCAUAUGUAGAGAUACUAAAAUGCACACGAACAGUACGUGUUACCUUAACCUUGCCGUUGUUGUUGAACCAUUGGAUGUAGUAAGGAUGUGGAUGUGGUCUUGUGGUGAGAGAAAGCUUCUCCACCAUCUCCAUGCUAGCCAAGUUGUUGCAGCUCCCUCCGUCUAUGAUGACGCGCACAGAACGUUCCUUCACAACUCCCUUGGUAUGGAACAAAUUGUGCCUCUGAUUUUGCUCAGCUCGUGUGACCUGCACACUCAAAACACAUUGAGCAACUAAACAUUCAUACCUGUCAGCGUCUUCAGGAGCCAUGUAUUGCGUCUCAUGAUCAGAAUCAUCUCCACCAUGUUCUUCACGUGUAAUAAGAGCCAAAGUCUCCUCAUCAUAGUCACUAGCGGACUCAUAUCCACCAUCCGCGGUAGCAAUCAUCACACGCGGAGAUUUGCAUUCUCUCGCAUAAUGACCUCCUCCCUUACAACGACGACAAAUAAUAUCACUUGUGUGCCCUGUUGAUGCCAUGGAAGAAGAAGAACGUUGUGCAGGCCCCGCAGGUGCGCUCUUGGCAGAUAAUGGUGGUUGUGCCUGUUUUCUUGUAUCACGGCUGGAGGUGGCACCGGAUGGAGGUGCUGGUGCAGUUGAAGUAGAAGAUGCACGUGGUGUCCAUGAUGAAGGUCGGCCUGCAGAAAAGUUAGUUCGCCCCAAUGCUUGUCGAUCCUGCACUUCACGUUCAGCUUUACAAGCAAGAUGGAAUAAACGAGUGAUAUUAGUAUACUCCUUAUAGUCUAGAAUGGUCUGAAUCUCUCUAUUUAAUCCACCCAGAAAACGUGCAAGCAUAGCUUCAUUCUCGUCAACAAUACCACAUCUAAUCAUGCCAGUUUGUAAUUCCUGAUAAUAUUCUUCUACAGAAUUUUUCCCUUGUCUUAAACACUGCAAUUUUUGAAGCAAUUCACGUUGAUAAUAUGGUGGAACCCAACGCGUACGCAUAGCAGUUUUCAAAGCAGCCCAAGUAGUUGGAAUAGGAUAUAAUCUACAAUGUUCAGACCACCAUACACAUGCAAAACUAGUGAAAGCACAAACGGCAGCAGCAACUCGUCUCUCCUCAGGAUAUUGUAAACAUGUAAAUCAUUGUUCAGUUUCUAACUCCCAAGUAAGAUAUAUAUCAGGAACAUAUCUACCCUCAAAUGGUGGAAUAUUCAAUUUCAGUUUAGGAAUAUGGACAUCAUCUCGUACCUGAGGUGGUGGUGCAGGCCUACCAUUACGAAUAUAUACCUGAGGUCGACCUGCUGGUGGUGGUACAGGUGGCUGCACGUAGUGUUGAUUUUGAUCAACCUCAUCCUCAUAAUCUCCCACAUAAUCAUCCUCCUCGGCAUCAGCAGCAGGAGCCACAGAAGUAUCAACAGCAGCACCAACAGUUUGGCCAAACGCAAGAGGAACACGGCUUGCUCGGCGGAGGUCUGCUUCGCGACGUGGAGGUAGUCGUUGUUGUUGUUGUUGGAGAGGUACGUUAGGUGCAGCGGGUGGUGGUGGUGGAAGACGCGCGAGCAAUUCAUUAAACUUGUUAUCGAGCUUUGUUUCGAACGUCUUCUCAAGUCUAGUGAUCUUCUCCAUGGCCUCUUCAAAAUUGUUCAGCACAUCUUGCACCUGUUCAGUCAUCAUUUGCUGAAACUUAUCAUGAAGCUCCUUGUUCGAUAAAUUGUCCCAGUCAAUCUCGUCGGCUUGUGAUCCUGGCAUGGUUAGCAGCAAUAGAAACACACAAGAAUAUGAUCCUACAGACUACGAACAAGUGGUGGUGGUGGGUGUCACAAAUCCGUCAAGCAAAUCUCAAAUUCUUACCAGUUCUUACCCAGCAGCAGGCGGUGAUCGGCAACCGUUGUAGUCAAAAACUCUCAAAGCUUGGAUAGAGCGAUUACCAGGGAGAGUCAAACGCACGACGUAGAUGUAUGUGGAGCUGGGAAGGCUUAUAAUAUGGUAGCAAAAAGGGUCAGCAAUAAUCAAUUCAGAGAUGCAAAGUUGAAUAAACGCUCAACGACGGUACUGUGCUGGUCCUAGGCUAGACUGUGCUAGAGACGCGAGCCUAGAACACUAACAAAAUCACGGCGCGACACGUAAACAAGGGAAAAGCACACUCUGGAAUUUUUUUUCGCUCUUUUUUUUGCCCUUUUUUUUCACACUUUUUUUUUGCGAAAAAUCACUAUAAUGGCGAGUGUCUCAAAACUCUUCUUAGCUCAAACUGACAGGAUGGGCACGAAAUUUUUUCGACCAAUUUUUUUUUUGACUGCCCGGACCCAAAAACUGGAAACGGGUCAAAAAAAACUUCCUAUAAUGGCACCUGUCUCAAAACACUCAGAAACACCUAAAAAUAGGAUAGCCAGAAAUUUUUUCGAAAAAUGCGUUUUCGAAAAAUUUUGGGCCUAAACGGAGCGUGGCUACCCGACUCCGGCAAGGAAACACGAAUCGGAAUCUAGAUGGAUCUCGAAAACAAACCUAAUAUGACAAGAACUCGGAUUGGUGGUGGAUAUAUGGUGGUAGAUGGCAGCGGUGGUGGUAUAUGACAGCUGUGGUGGUAUAUGGAUACGGAUUCGAAGCGGUGGCGGAUAAGCGGUGGUGGUAGAUGGCAGGGGUGAUGAUGAUGGUGCGGCGGCGGCGUGACAACUUAUGACCAGAACUCGAAACUCUAAAAGACUAGACUCUAAGACCAGCAACUAGACACGACGAUGCAACCGCAAAUUCAACAAAGCAAAACCCUAAAAAGAUUAUGCAAAGGCUCAGAUUGGUUCGGAUAUGAUGAACUAACCCUAAUUGUUUUUUUGUGGCUUUUUCGUGGACUGUAGGUAUGAAGAACAGACUCGAUCUAAACUACGAAAAACUGUAAAAUCUCACCGAGCAACCUGGAAAUCUGAUACCACUUGAUAGAGGCUAAGCUGUCCCGUCUUUCGAUGAGAUGGUGGAUUUCGCUUUGGUGGAAGUCGACUUUGACGAUCCGACUACGAACGUGCGAGGACGUCGCGCCUUAGCAAUCGCUAAACCAACUCCGAGAGGUUAUUGACCACGCCGGAGAACGAUCAACCUGACCACGAGGGUCUGUUUCCUGCGAGCAAACGAAGAACAAGCAAGAAACUGAGAUUGCAAUCUGGAUAUUGCGAAUAUAAGAUGAAAGCUUUAUUGAUCAAGGUGGGGUUCUGUGACGCCUUUGUCUGGUCGUUGAACACAAACGAAGUGCGCGAAGUUGCAGCUAUGGCGAACUUUUAAUCUAAACAAAACCCCAAAGUCUAAACGAUGCCCUAAGGGCUGUAUAUAUGGAGGAAGAGGGGGGAAUUUCGUGGCCCUUGGUGGAGGGGUCCGAAAUCAACCCUAUCUCUUGUUUCCCCACACAUACGGACUCUAAAAAUAGCCUAUACUUAUGUAUUUCGAAAUUACAUGGGCCUGGCCCAAUAAUAAGGUGACGCAGCACCUAAAAUAGCCUCGGGACGAAAUUUAUGAAGUGGCAUCUUGUAUAUUUCGUCCAAGGCUUCAUGCACCCAUUAUGGUGGCUUCAAAGUCCUGAAAUCAUCACUUGUAACUCCGUUCUUGUUCCCCUUGCGCAUGCCAUCAUCUCCAUGCUUGUUCUUGCUCCAAUGUUCAUCCUUCUCCAAGCUAGGCCCUUCAUUUGUAAGCAAAACAAAUGUAUCCAAUUUAGGCAGCAUCAUAUUCUCAUGAACAUUAGAAUCAUUACCAAGAAACGAAAGUACCUGGUAAUUUAGUUGGCGUCCACGAGCUCUAGUAAUUGGUCCAGUAUGUAUAGCAGCAGGGGCUGUGGGUGUAACAAUUGUAUUGAUGUCCUCAUCAAAGCUAAUGCCACAUGCUGAUGGUCCCUUUAAGGUGUUAGAGAAAAUAAAUGAUAAUGCAUAUAAACUUGAGCUGCCUGCAGAUUUUGGGGUUAGUCCCACUUUUAACAUUGCAGAUUUGAAGCCUUAUUUGGGUGAGGAAGAUGAACUUCCGUCGAGGACGACUUCAUUUCAAGAAGGGGAGGAUAAUGAGGACAUCAAUACAAUUGUUACACCCACAGCCCCUGCUGCUAUACAUACUGGACCAAUUACUAGAGCUCGUGCACGCCAACUAAAUUACCAGGUACUUUCGUUUCUUGGUAAUGAUUCUAAUGUUCAUGAGAAUAUGAUGCUGCCUAAAUUGGAUACAUUUGUUUUGCUUACAAAUGAAGGGCCUAGCUUGGAGAAGGAUGAACAUUGGAGCAAGAACAAGCAUGGAGAUGAUGGCAUGCGCAAGGGGAACAAGAAUGGAGUUACAAGUGAUGAUUUCAGGACUUUGAAGCCACCAUAAUGGGUGCAUGAAGCCUUGGACGAAAUAUACAAGAUGCCACUUCAUAAAUUUCGUCCCGAGGCUAUUUUAGGUGCUGCGUCACCUUAUUAUUGGGCCAGGCCCAUGUAAUUUCGAAAUACAUAAGUAUAGGCUAUUUUUUGAGUCCGUAUGUGUGGGGAAACAAGAGAUAGGGUUGAUUUCGGACUCCUCCACCAAGGGCCACAAAAUUCCCCCCUCUUCCUCCAUAUAUACAGCCCUUAGGGCAUCGUUUAGACUUUGGGGGUUUUGUUUAGAUUAAAAGUUCGCCAUAGCUGCAACUUCGCGUACUUCGUUUGUGUUCAACGACCAGACAAAGGCGUCACAGAACCCCACCUUGAUCAAUAAAGCUUUCAUCUUAUAUUCGCAAUAUCCAGAUUGCAAUCUUAGUUUCUUGCUUGUUCUUCGUUUGCUCGCAGGAAACAGACCCUCGUGGUCAGGUUGAUCGUGCUCCGGCGUGGUCAAUAACCUCUCGGAGUUGGUUUAGCGAUUGCUAAGGUGCGACGUCCUCGCACGUUCGUAGUCGGAUCGUCAAAGUCGACUUCCACCAAAGCGAAAUCCACCAUCUCAUCGAAAGACGGGACACUUUUGCCUCUAUCAGAACAAGUUCACGCAACCGGAUGAUGAUACACGUUUUGGACAUCACUUGGAGGAAGUCACUAGACACCUGAACAUAGGAGUACCAAGCUUCACCGGAACCUACAAUGCCACUUUACCUGAAGAAGAGCGCUGGAUGAUUCAAGUUCAAGUUCCAGGAAGGACGUUCAUGCCAGUCACUGAGCCCAUAGAGUUUUCAUUUGAUGCACCAACUUGGAGUCUAGGAAGGAGCAUGGCAGCACACAUCACCAUGGGACGCAUUGGAGAAGUCUACCGCAAUGAUCUCAAGGAUACUAUCUACUAGAUUUGUGGGCGCAGAGAUGAGCACUGGGAGAUGAUCAGCACCAGAAAGGAUAGAUCAAUUGCAGCACUUAUCCAGGAAUUAAACCAACACAUUCGACGACAGGAGAAUCAGAUGUGUGUCGACAUGAUAGAUCUGAAGAAGGCUAAGACAAGAAUCAAGGAACUGGAGCAAGAACUCAAGGCUACAUGUGAAUAUUAUGAAGAGGAAAUAGAAGUACUAGUGGAUAAGAAUGCCAACCUAACAAUGAAGCUAGCAAUAUUUAUGGGAGGCCCUACACUAGUAGAUGAAGACAAAGAACCCAAGGAGAUUAGCCCGGAAGACUACAUCAUCAUCGACGACACCGACUCGGAUCCAGAUGAUAGCGAUGAUGACUAUGUUGAUGAAGCCGGAGCAGAUAUCAUGGAGUCUGCAACCGAAGAAUAUUUCUAGUAGACCACCUCAUCAGUAGUAGUAGUCCACCAUGUAAAUACAGUAGUCCGAGCACUUUUGCGAUAGUUAGAUCGAUUGUAUGCCCUUGUUUGAUUGAAUGAAGUGAAUUGUUUGCUUUUGCCUCAUGUGCAUUGAUAGAGGCAAAGGUGUCCCGUCUUUCGAUGAGAUGAUGGAUAUCGCUUUGGUGGCAGUCGACUUUGACGAUCCGACUACGAACGUGCGAGAACGUCGCGCCUUAGCAAUCACUAAACCAACUCCGAGAGGUUAUUGACCACGCCGGAGCACGAUCAACCUGACCACGAGGGUCUAUUUCCUGCAAGCAAACGAAGAACAAGCAAGAAACUGAGAUUGCAAUCUGGAUAUUGCGAAUAUAAGAUGAAAGCUUUAUUGAUCAAGGUGGGGUUCUGUGACGCCUUUGUCUGGUCGUUGAACACAAACAAAGUACGCGAAGUUGCAGCUAUGGCGAACUGAUAGAGGCGGGGUGUCCCGAUCUUUCGAUGAGAUGAUAACUAUCGAUUUGGUGGAGACGACUUUGACGAUCCGACUACAAACGUGCACGACGUUGCGCCUUAGCAAUCGCUAAACCAACUCCGAAAGGUUAUUGACCACGCCGAAGCACAAUCAACCUGACCACGAAGGUCUAUUCCUGCAAGCAAUCGAAGAACAAGCAAGAAUUUAAUAAAAGCAAUCUGAAUAUUGCGAGUAUAUAUAUGAAGUAUUGAUAAAGAUGGGGAUCCGUAAGCGGUCUUGGUCUGGUCGUUGGACACAAACGAAGUACACGAAGUUGCAAUGGCUAACUUUUAACUAAACAAAUCCCAAGCGAAAAGCUACUAGAUGGAUCUACUUAUAUAGGAUCAAGGGGUGGCGGC